AAAUAAAAAUAAGGUAUGGUUGCUCCUAGGUUGAGUUACUCGGUUACUCUCUUCAAUUGUUGCAUUACUACAUUCAAUUUGGUCCUAAAUCGAAUUGUAGCAGUUGGACCUUCACUGGUAGAUCCAAGUAAGACAUUUUUACCACUGCCAUAUUUAAAAUUGGAGCAAACCUGACAAUUUUUUUUCUUUUUUCGGAUUCCGUGCCUUUAUUAUUAUAAUAACUUGAAAUGCACCUAACCAAACAGCCCUUCAGAACAAUAUUGGUUUAGCUGCCAUAGUAAAGGAUCUUUACAAGCUUCAUAAAGAUGUACACUGUCGCCAAACUAACUAGAACUCAAAAGGUCUAGCAUUUUUAUUGUGCCUGAAUUGGAAACACAAUAUACAAUUAAUCAAGAAGACCUCUGAAUUUUGGAGAAACAUCACCUAUGGAGACUCGGAAACUGAGCUUUUUUGUAACACCAGAGGAUGGAGAAAAAUACCAUUCUUACGAUGCAAGUUGUUGGAGGAUUUUGCUGGCAGCUUGAAGGUACGCAGAAUGACCGUCGACCAAAUUAGAAACAUCAACCUAACAUCACAAAAGAGUGAGCAUAAUUUGCAUCAACAUAGAAAGAAUGGUUCAGAAAAACAAAAAUGCAGCCAGCAAUAGUGGAUUACAUUUUCUACCCCAGGGACUUCGACUGCUUGAAUUCCAGCCAAACCUUGGGUCAUCAGACUGUACAUGAAAGAUUUUCAAAUUUGAUAAGGCUGUAAGAAUCGAAUAUCACGGUGAAAAUGUGCAUAUACUUUACCUUGCGCGAAAAGUUAGCCCAAGUAUCCAGUCAUUCGUCGAGAAAACGUUCACAAACUUCCCAGCAACUAUCUGAAGGUUAGAGAGGAAAAAAAGGAGCAUGAAUAUCAAUUGUUUGCUUACUUCAGAACUUCAUGUUGGACAUAAUUGGACUAAUGAAAACUUUUCCCAGCAACCACUCUGUGCCCUUUAAAACAUAAAAAUCUCUAAACGUCGCUCUUUAAAAUUUCUAAACCGAAAAGGCUUCAAAAACUUUCAUGAUUGGGAAACAUAAAAAACUUCAAACCUUGCAUAGAUUAUUCACCAGCCAAAAACAGCACCUUGAACAGGAACAAAAUUCGAAAAAGAGGACAAUUUAUCAAAUGAGAAAAGCAUAAGAAGUGGCGAAAAUGCUUUAUUUUCAAAAACAAAGAAUAUUCAAAAUAGUUGAACAUCAUGUGUAAUUUGAAUUGGAAAAAGAGAAAGUGCCAUGAUACAUCUUGUAACUGUUCCUAUAUUUCAAGAGGCAUAAUAGAACUUGAGAGUACCUUUCUUGCACUCUCCCAUUGGUCGGCUUUCAGUGGUAUUGGUGCACCUAAAAGAACAACCUUCUCUAUAAUUCCCUCUGCACAAUCACUACAUUAGAUUUGUUGGUUAACUAAAAUUGCUAAACUGAGAAAAAAGAUUACACGUGUUAGAAAUCACCAUUAUCUUUUGAUUUAGCUAACUGUUGCAGACAUUCAAAUAUAACUCGUGCUCCUAGUGAAAAGCCAACAAGCGUCACUGGCCUGAAAAAGUGCACAGUGAUUCAAGAGUCAAAAAGAAAAUGACUUAGAAAAUAUUCAAAUAAAUUUAAAUAAUCACUUACCUGUUACCCUGUAAACCCUUCAAAAGAGCUUCAGCAAGAAGCUUCCCUGCUUUAUCUGAUCUGAGGAGUAGGAAAUAGAGUAAGCAAAACUUGGCAGUAAGUUUAGUACCCAUUGGGAGAUAAGCAUGUUUUAAAUAACACUAGAGCCGAUUAUUGUUGCACCUAUCAAUAGCAAUCGACCAUUUGCUAUCGAUGAAAUCAGUAGCUGAAAGUAAUGCCGUUGGCCAAGCUAUUGCAGACACGAGAGUGCUUAACACAGUCAUCAUGGCUCCUUGCCUCAUUAACUCCGUAGUGAGUGCUACAUGGGAAGCAGCAUUGUCAGCAAAUGGCAAUCUAGCAUACUAGCACUAUUUUAGUAUUUAAGCAAUGGGCUCUAAUAUUAACUGAGCAUAAACUAUUAUGUAUAGAAUCUGAUCAAGUCUACACCUAAAAACAGUUUCUACAAGAAAAUAUGAAGGGCUUGUUUGGCUGUAACUGGAGCUUCCACAGAGGUGUUGUAUGACUAGAGCUGCCCAAAUGAGCACUCACAACAUUUUCAUUAGAAUCUCCUUCGCAACUUCUCGCAAAAGAAGAAGCAAAAACUUUAAAUUGGAAGUUCUUCUUUUAGAACCAAAAAGCUCAUUUUAGCUUUCAAGUACAGCAAAAACUCCAAAAGCUGUUAGCCAAACACCUAGUUUUUGUAUGCUUCUACUGCCUCAAGUAGAGAAGUUGUUCCACAAGGCCAAACAAAUACAAAAUCCAGCAAAUUACUUGAAGUGAACCAUUCUUGGGUCGCAGUGCUUAGUGCAAUCAAAUUCUUCGAUUCCCACUGAAGAGCAUACCUGACAAACACAAUUAAGCAUUUCAUGAUGAAGAAAAAAGUGACAAUAGGCUUAAUCUUUGAGAAGCAAGAAUCAUUGCUGAGUGUGAUGUACCUCUCAGAGUUAACCUCAAUUUGUUCCCAGGGGUCUACGUAGUCUUUCUCCUCACAGACAAACCCAGAAACAAAAAUACUAACUGCUAGGCGCUGAAAAAGAAGAAACAUUAGUUGCUCAUGGAAUUCAAGAUGGCAGAAGUCCUAAGCUAUCUAAAUCCCAGUACACUUAAAAAUGCGAGAGAAAAAAUAUUACUCACACCCUGGUUGUGGUUUUCUCCAAUGUUUUUGAACUCAAACUCUUCAAUGCUUCCAAUUCUUUUAGCCAUUUUGGUCCCUGAAAGUCCAGCUCCAGCAGCUGUUUUCGCAUGUUAAUGAACUGUCAUCUAAAGUGCAUAUGCGUAACCAAUAUGCAUAAAAUCAUCUCUUGGUUGUCAUUCUGACCAAGUUAUCUACAUAGCACUGUAUGCUUCUUUCUAUAUAUCCAAUACAAGAAUUAUGUAUGAAAUAAUACUGAAGAUCUCACGAUACUAAGGCCUUUUUUAGAUGUCAGAAUAAGAUAUCCAAUGGUAACAUAUUUGGUAUGAAGAUUUUCUAGUGUGAUUGGAAGCUAGGAGUUUGAUUUUUGCUCCUUGAAAGGUUUUGACUUUUAGGAUAGCAUAUUUCAUCAAUAAGGUGAUUUAUCUUAUUUCGAAAAAAAUGACUUGAAAUCUGAAUAUUAUAUCCAUUCUAUAUAUUUGAUCCCGCUCCUCAUCUACUAAAUACAACAUGCUUCUUGAGUAAUUGAAGAGAUAUAUUCCGAAUAAGAUAUUCAUGCAUCCAAACUGGGUGUAAGAGUGGAAGACCCUCCAAGAGAGAUAGGACACACGAAAAGAAUUUGAAAGAAAAGAAAGAAUCUAUACAAUCUCAUGAAUCCCCAACCCAUGAUGAGUACGGAGCACUCCCUUGAGGGCAUCUCGGCAAAUUUGAGGGUGUGGCCUGCAUUGAAGCUAAUGCGUUGGGAUAAUGGGGCCUGCUACUAGGACCUAGUCACCAACAUGCUUGCCGAUAGCAUCCCCGCCAACACGGCUCACUGCCUCGAUUGCGAUAUCCACUAGUUCGAGCACAUGUAAGCCACCAUUGUCAUCCUCGACAAAGUCAUCUACUGUGCCGAAUAUGGUGCAUGAGACAAAUUCAUACAUCGAGUGUAAGGCAUAACUGAUACAAUUUUUAUUUUUGAUAGAAAGCUUGCAGACUCUUUCUUUUUAGAGAGAAAGCCCACAAGCUUCUUUUUUCUUUCCCCUUUUUUUCUCGAGAGAGAUGAGUACGCUAGAGACCACCACAGUUCCCCAAUGAAAAAAAGGUUCAAUAAUAAAUUACAAUAAUUGAGCCUUUUUUCCAGUACUUCUACUUAAAUAUUUCCAAAGUACUCUACAUUGUCAAAAUCAUAGUUAGUAGCUUGAAUUUUCGUGAGGUUCACUGCUUGAAACAUAGGAAUCUGGCAUCAGUUGGUGGCAAUCAACAAUAAAAGGAUGCAAUUAUAAAUAUGAAAUGGAAGUAGAACUAUUAGAAGAUGCAACAGCAAAAAUGAAGCAGCAAAAGAUGAAUGAAAAGAUAAUAAGUAUCUAGAUUUGGAGAAAAAAGAAACCAAAGAUUACUGUAAUCAAGCUAUCUAUUGUACUUUGAGAACAUCAUUUCAUAUAUGUUUAAUGAUUGAUAAAUAGUUCAGUUGCCAGCAGCUAAUAGAUCUAGAAUAAAAAACCAAAUUCAUACCUCCAAAUGAUGCAGCAACAGCUACAGAGCCAGUAACUGAUCCUGCAGCACCUGCGGCUGUUGCAAAUCCACCAGCUCCAAUAAAUGGGACUAGGGUUCCUAAAGUGGGAGCUAGUGCACUAAAUCCUGCGGCAAUUGCUGGAGCAGCAAGACCUGUUAAGGAAAACAGAAUAAAAAGGAUGCCAUGAUCAUUCUCACUAAGAUUUUUCUUGUUCAGAAAGUUGGUCAUUCUACGAAGGCUUAUAUUCUGCAAAAUCAUCCAUUAAUUUAAAUACCCCAGUAAAACAAUCUGAAUUUCAAUAUAUAUCCCUUGAAAUGCAGUUUCUAACAAAAUAAUCUUAUCUUAACUUUCGAGGUUAUCCAAUUCAGGUGAGGAAGUAGGUUUUGCAUUAGAAAAGGCUUGAAGGAACAUUUUGGUAAGAAAUGAGACAUAUAUAUAUAUAUAUAUAUAUAUAUAUAUAAAAUAUAGAACUAGGCUACUAUUCUAUUAAUAGCACCAAGUCAUUGGUGCUGCCAAGUUUUUGGCCAUUGGAUUAAGUGAUGUGCAGUUAGGAUGAUGUGGGCCCCCUAGGGUUGAGUGGGUGGUUGGUUGAAUAGUAUAAUCUAACGGGUAAAAAUAAUCAAAGGGGUUAAUCUAACGGCAGAAAACUUGAUAGGACCAACUACUUGGUGCUAUCGAUAGCAUAGCAGCCGGACUCUAUAUAUAUAUAUAUAUAUAUAUAUAUAUAUAUAUAUAUAUAUAUCAAAAAUCAAAAUUUUUGAGUAACAAGUAAAUAGAUAAUUUUGCAUGGAUAAAACUGUUUAUCUCUCCUCUGAUUAAAAGCUUUGGUACCUCCAGAAAUUGCUAACAUGGCUCCUCCUGUCAAUGCCGCAGCACCAAUGAUGCCACCACGCUUCCAUCUAGACCAGCUACUUUCUUCUGAUUGACAGCCUUCGGACUGCAAUGCCUCUUUUGCUGCAGCUAUUGCAGAGCAAGCAAGCAUUAUCUCCAUGGCUUCCUAUAAAGGGCAUCCCAUAAAAUAAAAUGGAUAAAGCAAGUUAAACUGAAAGUUGAAGAGAAUAGCAUAUGCUGGUUAGACAUGAGAAUGCUAAUUAAUAUUCUUUAUGUGGAUGCAAGUGAUGGUGCUUUGGCUACUGUUGUCGACUGCCAUGAGUCUUGAAUUGAUAGGAAAAUGGUACCAUAAAAAGAAUUAGGAAAAGAUGUCCAAACAAUUAUCACAUGUUUAAGGGAUUAUAUAACUAAUGGCCUCCAUAGAGUUGUGUUUUACUUCAAUAUCCAUAAUAGGGCUACAGCAACAGCAUCAUAUCAAUUUUGUUUGAGAAGAGUUUUACAUAUAAUACUACCCAUAGAUAUCACAGAGAACAGGAACAUGAGUUCUGUCAUAUAAGGGCUAUUGGCAUCACCCUAUAUAAGCAGUUCUACAAGAGAAACGAUAAAACAUAUUCUUAUUCUAAUUAAGAAAGAACAACAAACCACAUUUAUCCAUUGGACAUCAAGCCACCCAGCCAAAAUUCUUAGAGCAAUGCGGUGACGAGCAUCGUAUCCCUUUCUGUGUUGAGAACUCUUUUUAUCAUCAUCAGGUAUAUCAGCCACGCAAGCAGAAAGAAGUUCAUAAAGAAAGCCCAAUUUCCGUUGAUCACUGACCGGAAAAUCCACUAUAAUUGACUUGUUAUCCAAUAGAACAGUCGAUUUGUUAAUUGCCGCCUCUUGUCCGAAAAACACUUUUAUCUUUGUUAAAUCAAACAUUUCAGCAGACAUAGAUAACAUGGAUCUGUCAUCAGAUAAUUGUCCAAUGAUUUCUGACGUACUAGAUGUCAAUUCAGAAAUUUUAUGCACCAUAUCAGAAGUAAAUCUUUUAUCAGAGUUAUCUUUAUGUUCACUUUGCUCUUCCUUGGCAACCUCAGUUGAACCGGAAGCCGUUUUCAAGCUUGCGACAAUUGAAUCGAUAGCUUUUGACAAUGCAAGCUCUUCCUCUGAUCUCUCUGAAGAAGUUUCGUUGUUGUCAAAGAUUAUCUUCAAGAACUGGAAAGAAUGUGCAAACAAAAAGCAGAAGUCAGUUUCCCGAUCACUUAUACUUCUUUGACGAAACAGAGCCAGGAAGUCAGGACCAUAAGAUUUAGUGAUCUGGCCUCUUUUAAUCUCAAAAAGAAUAGUCAAAAGGAAGCUAAUCUUUCUUCAUAUUCGUUCUGUAACAUUAUCUGACAUAGACUGAAUGAAAUUAGUCUUGUAUAUAUCCUCAAGUACUUCUAUGAAACUAAAGUUGUAGAUAAUACUAGUGCGGCCAGCUACAAUCAAAGGUUAAUCAGCAUACACUUCGAGCAGCGAAUAUUUCUAAUGAUGUUUCCAGUAAGAAGGAAUACAAUUUGACGACUUUGCACUUAAAAUUCAAAAAUAAUUGUAAGUUGCAGUUUUUAAUCAUACAAAGAACAUUGAAUUCUGAACAAUAAACAGAUCAGCCAGUAAUAGAUAACAUGCUGUAUGCAAGUAAAGGCAUGCUAAUGGGGGUGUUUGUUCAGAAUAUUCAACAGCAAAUUAAAUCUACCAUCAAGACCUAUCGACAUGUCAAUCCUUUUUUCUUCUUUUAAUUUUUAAGAAACACCACAUCAUGGGAAGGGGUUUGUCACAUAAUAUGGUUGUCUUGAAAGGCAAAAUAGCCUAUUCUUGAGUAAUUUUUUUUUUUAAAAAAAAAUCUCGUCUGCUUGGUUAAGCUUUCUACUUCUGCAUUUAGCAGCAGCUGGUUCUAGUAGUGCGUUUCAUGAAUGGAAAAGUUUGGAGCUUUUGGCGCAAUUAGAAGCUGAGAUGAGAUUCUAAGCUCCGAACGUAGAUUUUUCUACAAAGAGAAACUGUUGAGGAUAUUGUAUUAAUGUGCUUCACGUACUAGCAUUUCGCAUGCAGUGCUUCACUAAACAAGACUAGCAUUACAUGUGGCAACUUGUUAGAUGCAAACCACGAGCCCCAAAAUACUUAAACCUAGUUAUUAUUAAUAUCAAAGCCCCUAAAUGCAAACACAUUACGAUCACAUUACGAUUCUCGCACAACCACAGACUCUAUCCAAACUCAAGAACUACAUUCCCCACGACAUACCUCCGCGAUUCGAUCCCUAGGGCAACUCGACGCCGCGGUCUCCUCGAUUGCCGCCCAGGAAUCGGGAUCGAUCCCGAGGUGGUGGAAAACGGGGCGUAGCAGGGCGUGGGACUCAUGAGUCCAGAGAUCGGAGGGGUCACCACCGCCGCCGCCGCCGCCGUCAUCGGCGGCAGAGUUGCGGGGGCGGGAGUGGUCGAGCUGGGCCUGGCCGAGUGCGAGGGCGAGGAGCGCCGCGGCGGCGCGGCUCUGGGCCGGGGCGAGGAGCGAGCUCGGCAUCGGCGGCGACGAGGGGAGGAGGAGAGGGAUCGGCGAAGGGUCGGGGGGGAGAGAGAGAGAGAGAGAGAGAGAGAGAGAGAGAGAGAGAGAGAGAGAGAGAGAGAUUUUGUUUGCGGAGGAGGAGGAGCGAUGCAUUUUGUGUGCGUUGUGGCGCGACGAGCGACGCGCGCACGAUUAUCGGCGUAGCAACGGUUUAAGAAGCUCCUGCUACUACAACUACUCAAAAGCGUGGCGCGUGAACCGUGAAACUCGGAGAAAAUGUUUCCUGCACCGAGUGUACACGCUCACUCGACACACCGCAUCUCAAGUCCCGUGAACUUUUAAACAUUUUAAACUUUGUCACAACCAUAUUAUUAUUAUCAGCAUAAUUAUAUUUAUAUUUAUAAUAAUUUUAAAAUAUUUAAGUUGAAGAUUAUAUUAAAAUAUAAAUUUGAGACUAGAAUUUAUAAUCUACUCUAAAAAAAAAAUUUAAAUUUAAAAUAUAAUAAAAUAUUAAACGGACCUAUCCUCUGCGGCCCCGUCUCUCGCACCAACACCGACCUGGCUCGACCAGCUAAUAACAACGCCCGAUCCUUCGCGCCCACGUCUCUCGCACCCCGCACGAGUCUACAAAACCCGAUCGCGAUCGACUCGAACGCCUCCCUCGGCUUCGUUGCCCCACGAAGCAAAAGGAGGAGCGAUCGCACUGCAUGUCGGAGCGAAAUUAGGGCGCGGAGAGGAAGGGGGAUCGGGGACGCGGAGGAGGAUGGAGGAGGAAUCGCCGCGCGGCGGCGGCGGCGGAGCUCCGAGAUCGGGGGCGGAGGGCCUCGGCGGCGGCGACCCCCAGGACCCGGAGGCGUCGGCGGCGGCGGCGGAGGGGAGGAAGGGGAAAUCAUGCAAGGGGUGCCUCUACUACUCCUCGCUCCGCAAAUCCCAAUCCCGGAACCCUAUGUGCUUCGGCAUCUCCAGGACCCUUCCACAAGGUUAGAAACCCUGUUGUUCGUAACUGCAAUCGUUGAUUUGUGUGCGAUUCUGUUGAUUUGAUGUGGGAAAAGGCUGAUUCUUUUGAGUACUCUGGGCUCUGGCAUCGGUUUGUUAUAACAGGGUUUUGAUAUGUUAACCGUGGUGAAGAAAAGGGAAAGGAAAUGAUUUAUUUGAUUCUAAAGAGAAUAGAAAACCGGCGUAGUAGAUUUUAGUUUAAGGAUAUUUGGGUGAUUUGUUCGAUUGGAGUUUCCGCUCUGCUUCAUUGUUAAGGUUAAAUUGGUAGAAUUCGCUAACUUAUCUGAGACUGUUUCAUCUCUUAUAUAGUUGAUUUUUGGUGUUUUUUAUGGAUCUGGGAGCUGGAAAAUUGGUUGUUUUAUGAAGAUUGUUGUAAAUCGGGCGAAGGAAUCACUGUUGGUCCUCAUAAUGAUCAAACUAAUAUUGAUGAAAUUUGGGUUUUGGGGGAAAUUUUUAUGAAUUAGCUCAUUAGGCUUUUACUGUUUUUUGGUCUUUCUUUUUUCUAAUUCUUUAAUCUCCUUAAUCUUCACAACAGAAGAUUAAUAAGUGAAGAUGAUUUUGUAUGCAAUUAGAGGAGAUGAUGGAAGCAUACAAGAAAAUGUUAUACUAUGAGUUAGUAACCGGGAAAUUACAGAAUUUAGUAGAUAGAAAAGUCUGUGCUCUUUAUUUAUUAUAGUUAGCUCUUGUCACGGUACCCUGGGUUAGGAGAAGGGCUCAGACUGAAGCCAGAUGCACUUUGGUAAGCCAUUGAUUUAUUCUUCCAUCAAAGUUGGAAUGGAUAAACUAGGUGAAGAUGAAUAUCACAAACUGUAUGAGUAGGCACCUUGAUCCCUCUACUCAGUAGUUUGAGAAGGAUUGCUCGAGGCACGCACAUUGGUGCUUAGACACAAGGCCCCAGGGUCAUUGCCUUGUAUUCUUACUUGCACCUCAAGUAGAGUGCCUCACAGAAGCAUGCACCUCAGCCAAGGACCCAGGCGCACUUAAGAUGCCCCUUAUAUUGACUUUAUUAGCUUUGGACAUGAGAUGCGCAAGUAACAGCCCUUUGGCUUAGUGAUUUUCUUACAUUUGUAUUUAUUGUCCAGUGCCAAGCUACAUAGUGGGAGAGUCUGAAAUAGAGGCAAUGAAAGAUGGACGUAACCUGUCGGACUUCAAGUAUGCAUGUGUUGGUUAUUCAGUGUUUCUGGAUAAGAAAGGAAAUCCGAGUGACAACCAAGAGAACCAAGCAGAGCUGCCAUUCUGUGUUGGAAUUGAGGUUUUUCUCUUCUAAAAACAAUUUCUUGAUUCUAUAUAUUCUCUUUGGUUGAUUCAACUUUUUCUUUGUAAUAGUAUAUUUAUUUGGGAUUUUCUCACUUAAAAGAUGGAAAAUGUAUAGGUAAAAACGUACAGAACUUACUUGAACUAUGGCUCAUUUUGAUUUAGUUACCCAACCUUUGAAAAUUUUAAUUUUGCUACCCAACCUUUCGAUUUAUAAUUUAUUUGAUUUGAGUUAGUCAACGACACAUUAUCUUUAAAAUUUGAAUGUAUCGUUUAUCUUUGCAGGUUUAGUUAGUAUGCUUCAUGUAAUUUUCGCAAUUAUAAAUUCAUGAAAGUUAUUAGCUUAAAUUUUGAAGUCAAAGUACCGUUGACUGAUUUAAAUCAAACAAAUUCAAAGGAUGUAUAGUAAAAUCAACAUGUUGAAAGGUUGGGUAGCUUUCAAAAUGGUCCAUAGUUCAGGUAUGUUCUGUACAUUUUACCAAAAAGAAAUAUAAACUAAUGUUGUAGAAACAAGCAACUACUAACUUUUUCCAUCUUGGUCCAUUCAGUGUAUUUACUCUACUUAGUAUUAGACAGUUUGAAAACAUGAAUGGGCAAUUUAGCAAAUUCUAUCAUCUUACAUAUGUUUUGGGGGAAAUAUUUGCUUUGAUGGGGGAAAUAAUUAAUUAAAUCACUUCGAAUAAAAGGCAACUGCAUUCAUCUCCUUGCCUUCUUGGAAGUUGCUUGUGCCGAUCCCUUGUUGCUAUGUAGCAUAAAUAAUGUAGUCAUUUAGUUAAAAUGCUGAUAAAUAAAUCCUAUUCUAGUAUCACAGCAUGCAUGAAGUUUUCUCAAGGCUCAAAUAUAGACACCAUUUGAGAGAAAAAUUUUGAGGUGAAAAGUUAAAAUAGCCAAUCAUUGUUUUCGUAAGUAAUCUCACAAUGACUAUCAGCUUUCUCAGUGGAAUGGCUUUGUUUGCUAGUUUUAGCUCCAGCAGUGACAGCUAUGAAUUGUUUGGUCAUUGUAGAAAGUCAGUAAUUGUUCAGAAAUUUCAAAUUGACUUGAGGAAAAUGUAAUGCGUUUCAAUAUGCACUCAGGAUCUUUGUACUUUAUAGCAUAUUCAGAGCCUAUAUUCUCCAAAAAUAUUGAGGUAGAGCAGAUAUAAUUAAAGAGCUGUGAAGAAUUGUGAUGAGUGAGAAUGCUGAAUUAGUAGAAGGAAAACUAGUGUAAGAACUAUUUUACUGUUCCUAUGUCUAUCUUUAGAAUUUCACUUCGUAGAGAAAUUCACUUCAUGCUCCAUGGCAUUAUAUGAUAGUCGUGAUAUCUAUACUUUUGUUUUAAUAUGUUUCUUGAAUAAAGUGAAUUUUUAUAUCGCUCUCUUUUGUACUUUUGCCUUUUCAUCAUUGUUUUAAAUAUGUUGUUGCAGCUGUUGGUUGACAGAAGAGCCUCCACUUCUGCUCACGCUCCUGCUCACGUUCACAAGGAAGGUAAUGUGGCUAAAUAUUGAGAAGACUCUGGGAGUGGAAAAGAGACAUAUUAACUUCUUGAAAUUUUAUUACUUCUUGCUUGUCAGAUAAAACUACUCUCGCAAAUGUAGGCUAUCUUGAGUUAUAGUUGCUCUUUCAAUGCUUUAUAAUUGUAAUUCUGUCGUGAAGAAUAUUCUCUUUACUUGAGAGAAGGUUUUUAACCUAUGAAUAAAAGUUUUGGAUUUUAAUCUAUGGAUGGAAAAGUUUUCUGACAAUCUGCAUGUAAACUUUCUUUUGAAGAUGCUGCUGCACAUUCUCAACCGCGAGGAUAUAAACCUUCACACUCUUCAGGAGAGGAGUUCUUAAACAGGCAAGCUCUUAGUUCCAGUUUCUACUUUUACUACCUAGUUAAUGAAUUAGAACCCUUUCAAAUGUCAACAAAUAGGAUACUGAUGUUUGCACUUGUGCAGGUUUUCAAGGAAUGCUGGACUCGUGGCUUCGGGCGUGGCCAGGAACCUAAACAAAGUCGGCAACUACAUCAAAGAAAACAUAGAUGAUAUACUGUAUCCUUACCGCCGACGACCCAAGUAGAGCCAAGCUUAAAACAAAAACUAGCCUUGACAUCUUCACUUUAUCUAGAUAAACAAAUAAAUGAGAUGGGGGUUAUCAGGGAUUCAUAAUUGUUUGUUUCCUGCUGUAUCUGUUAUAAUUUUGUAACUUAAUUUUGAGAUCAAAGUUUUUCGCAAUAGUGAAAACUCUUCAGGGUUAUUUUUUUGUCGUUGGUGUUGCUACUAAUGAUGCAAAUUAAAAUUAUGUGUAGAGGAAGUAGUUUCUUGGAGGAAGAAUGUUUUUUGCAAAAAAGUUGAGACUGGUGUCUUGUUGUAGCUGCAUUUGGUAAGCUGGAUUGGUUACGAGGUAUGGUUUGUUCCGUAUCUAGCUCGAAAUUCAUUACCCGUAAAUUCUUCGAUGCUUGGUAUAGAGUUGCUACAUUUCUAUGGAUGCCAAUUUGUGUUGGUGGGCUGUGUUUGUAGCCGACAAUUGGAUUUGUUGCGUCAACUUGAAACCUAUAUCUAUGUUUCUGUAGGUUAGCUGUGUUCAUGAUAUUCAUGCGACGUCGUCUCUCGACUGAAAUGGAGAUGUAUUUGGCUGCCUCAUUUUGACAUUGACAGACUAAAUAGUGAAUUCUUGUGGGUGUUAUAUGCCUGGGUUCUGUGCUCAUGUUGAUUCGAAUUGGUGUGUUAAUUUCAGUUUAGACAAGUUUGUGUUUGUCUCCUAUUUGGCCUUGUUUCUCUAUCUAUUUUCAAUAAUACAAUCUCUACCGAAGCCUUUAGCUGAACACUAUAGUAACAAGUUUCAAAAGUCGAAGCACUAAUUUAAUACUUUUUUUUUUUGAGAGAUAGAUAACAUGUUACCCGCUUUAUUUAUUUUAUUUAGAAAUAAUUUAGCUAAAAAUGUGAAUCUAUCUAGAAUUCAAACUCGGAACCUCGAAUAUCAAUCACCAAGCCCAUAGCCACUUACGCUAGGGACGGUCGGUAUUAAUUUAGUACUUUUGGUUCUGCUAUUGUGUGAAACUGUUAUGUAUGCUUUUAUAUUAUCACUUGGAUCGUAUCAACCAACUUCCAUUCUUGUCGGGUGGAAUACAUUUUGAGAGAAGCAAUUUUUUGGGAGCUUUCCUUGCAAUUUAUUAAUCUUCUUCUAAAGAUAUAAAGCACUUGUAUUUCAAGUUACAUCGGUUAUCUUAAACAUGAUCAUUUGGCAUUUAGAAAUAUCUGCGACUUAUAAAAUUGACUUCUUUACUUCAGAGAAACAUGAAAUGAACUUGUUGACAGCUAUUGUUAUUCCUGACCUCAUGCCAAUUAUUUUGCCGCAGAUAAGCUAACAAUUAUUGGUACCUCAAUAUGACACUUGUACAGAACUUAUUAAGUCUACAUAUGCUGACAACGUUUAAUUGAAAAUUAACUAAGUAGUUAAUAGACUGACCGUCCCUAACGCAAGUGGAAAAAGGGCUUGGUGGUUGGUAUUCAAGACCCAAGUUUGAAUCCUAGUUGAUUCACAUUUCUAACUAAGUUUAUUUCUAAAUGAAAUAAAUGAAGCGGGUAGGAAUGUCAAUGGGUAUGGAUACCCGAAAUAUUAUCCGAAUUCGAAUCUGAACGGGACGGGUUUAUCUGAACUAAACAGGUAUGGAUUCGGUUAUGGGUAUAGAAAAUAAAAAUCCGACGAAUAUGGAUACGAGUAUGGAUUUUGUAUUUAUCCGACCCGACCCGAAUAAAUUAUAUAUAUAAAUACUUUAUUUUUAUUUAUUUAUAUAAUAUAUAAAAUAUUUAAUAAUUUUUAUCUCUUAGAUCUUCAUUCAACGGUAUGGAACCCGCCGGGUAUGGGUACUGGUCCGGGUUCGGAUUUAGGGUUUUUGGUUGGGUACGGAUAUGGGUAUGGAUUUUUAAAACCCGCCGGGUUCGGGUUCGGGUACGGAUUUUAAUUUGAUUUUCGAGUUCAGGUUCGAAUUUUUAAAAAUCCGAUCUGUUGACAUUCCUAAAAACGAAUAGCAUGCUACCUCUAUCUCUCAAAAAAAAAAAAAAGAAGAAAAAAAUUAACUAAGUCAGUAACAGAGUCAAUCGGAAGUAUGAGAUGAGUGAGUGCGCUUGAAUCUGACCAAGCUGUCAGAGCUAAAAUAGAAAAAAAUGUGGCACCUUAAGAAUUUAAAGUAGUUAUAUAUAUGUAAGAUUUAGUUUUAUUAAAAUUCUUAAUCCGGCUAUAGUUCUAAACAUCUUAAUUCGACUAUAAUAUUUUUUGAUGACGGUUAGAAAUAAAAGAUUAAGUGGGUUGAACGAUUUUAGCGCUAAAAUAAUUCUAAAAUAAACAACACUCCUAAAAGAUUAAGAGGGUUUAACUUCAUAUCUCAACGAGCAGAACACGAUCUUGCUCGUAUUUGACGAGUUGACAGCCCUAAAUUCAGAGGCAGAGGCUCAUCCCCCUCUAAGUUGUUCAUUACAAAAUGGCCCAACAAAUUCGCUCUCUCUCUUCCCCUCUGUUUCUCUUCCUUUCUUUCCUCCUUUCCUUCUCUCCCCUUUCUCUCUCCCUCUCUCCUCCGUUUCCACCGUCGACGCAAACGAAGAAACAACGAUAUAUAUCUCUCUCUCCCCCUCCAUAUCUAAACCAAAAACGAAAGGGGAGAGAGAGAGAGAGAGAGAGAGAGAGAGAGAGAGAGAGGAGGAGGAGGAGGAGGAGGAGGAGGAGGCUUCGUGCAGUGCUUUCGCUUAGGGCAAUGAACGGAGCCAAACCCCCCGUCGUCGUCGUCGUCGUCGUCGUCGUCCUCCACCCCUGCGCCCUCAUCCACCUCUAACAACAAACCUAGAAUCUCUCCACUCGGACCCGGUCGAAUUCAAUGGCGGCGCCCCGCAUCCUCUACCGCCGAGGCGGUGGCGCGGCGUUGGGCCUCUGUUCUCGGUCGCCGCCGCCGCUCGGCGCCGCCCCUGAUUCGGCUCGCUGCGUCUCGCAGCUCGUGCAGAGCAACGGGAAGAGGGCGUUCCUGGUCGACACAUUGGCGUUGGUAACGUAGUGAUCCAAUGGAUCGAGACCAAUCUCUCUCUCUCUCUCUCUCUCUCUCUUUGCCUUUUGGGGAUUGUGUUGCGGUUAAGGUGUUUGAUGUUAUGCAGGUGAGGAGAUUGGAGGCGCAGGGGCUGCCGUCGAAGCAGGCAGAAGUCAUCACGUCGGUGAUUACGGAGGUCCUCAAUGACAGCCUAGAGAACGUCGCACAAUCAUUCGUGUCGAAGGGGGAUAUGCAAAAGGUGAUUGCAUUCAAUGUUGUAUUGAUUGGUGGGCGUUGGUAAUCUUUGUUAUUAUCGUUAAUUAAUGUGGAUUGAUGGUUUAUGCAGAGGGAAGUGAUGCAAGAUUCUAAUCUCUCUAAGUUCAAAUCUGAAGUACAAAGCUCGCAGGUGCGACGUAUCUUUAAUUUUAAUCUGAAUGAAACUAAUUAGCUGCAGUUAUUUGUAAAUUAUGUAAUAUCUCUCUGGUGAUGUAACAUGCAAUAAACCAAUUAGAAGCCUGAGCCAAUUAACCGAUAGUGCUUCUUAGUUUUUCUACCGGCCGAGAGCAGAGGAACUUAGAUUUCAGUUUUUUCUUUGGUUAGGUUGUAUGUUUCUUGGCAGAAUUUUCCUUCCUCCUUUAGUCUUAUCAUUGCAAAAAUUGGCUAAUUUGGAUCAUUAUCACUGUAUAACUUAGGGAUCUGACACAAUAUUUAGGUGGUAUAUCUUUGGUUAGUUUGUAUGUUUCUUGGCAGAAUUUUCCUUCCUCCUUUAGUCUUAUCAUAGCAAAAAUUGGCUAAUUUGGAUCAUUAUCACUGUAUAACUUAGGGAUCUGACACAAUAUUUAGGUGGUAUAAAUGUUUUAUGCAUGAAGUAUUUGAGAUUCAGUAGGCAAAUGGAGAACAAAACAUGAGAAUGUUUUCUUAGUAACGAGGUUUAUUCUAAAAAGUAGAAACGAUGCAAGGAUAGUCAACCUACUACAAAGUGCAUAUGCGGUGUGUAGGUGCAUAUGCAGACGAAUAUACCGUUCAGCUUUUAAAAUAUGUAAAAGUUUAAAUAUAAAUAUAAAAAAUAUUCUUAUUUUCCAAAAAUAUAAUUAAACAGAUAUGUAAUAAAUUGGCUAAUUUUUUGUAGAAAAUAAUAAUUUCUUCAUAAAGCGCUAUUUACCAUUACUUUUGUAGUCAUCCAAUAGACCAACACUUUUAAAAUCUAGUACAAUAAUAUAUAACAAUUACAAAAUUAUUCAUCAAUAUUUAUAUAUAUAAUUAUUAGAUAUAUGUUAAAAAUAAUACCACAAAUUAUGAAAUGUUAAUAACCAAGCAAUUAAAAUAAGAAGAGAGUUAAGUUAUAUUUAUGAGAAGAUAGUAACAUGUAUAUGCAUAAUCAGUAACCAAAACUAUAUGACGAUAGUCAUAUGUGUAUAUGUAUAGUCGUCAAUGAUAUGCCAGCCACUGCAUUUAAGUCCCACCUCAAAACAAAACACUGAAAAAGAAUUGCCGCAUAUGUGGUUGCAUAUUUGGUCACUUGCCACAUAUGUGGCCGUCGCAUAUGCAGUUAGACUGCAUACUGUACUGCAUAUUACAUAUGUGGUGUGGUUGAUUGCACAAACCAUAUAUGCCACCAUGUAUACCACUUUUUGGAACAUGUGGUUUGUGUUCUCAACAAACUAUUGAACGGAAACCAAAGUAAUCUAGAAUUAUGUCAUUAUUUCAGUAACAGUUAAUCAAUCUGAGAGUCUAUGGUGUAGUUAUCAUUUAAACAUCGAACUGGGUAGUAAGAGAUAGAACAUUAUGAAUCUCUUAGGAUCCUAUAAUCAGGCAGAACUCUCAUCCUUUCUUGUGGCAGCCAAAUUGUGUGAUCUCCGUUAUGGUUGGUUUAUGAUGAAAAACCAAGGCGGAACCUGCAUCGCAACAAAGACACUAAGCAUAUAUAAUAUUUUGUAUGAGGGAAUUUAUGAGCCUUUUAGGGAAAAACGGGCAUGAAAAGAUGGAAGUACGUAUUGAUAUUCAUGUUAAAUUCCAGGGCAAGUUGACUUCACAUUAAGGGCAGAAAAGGGAGCACAUACCAUUUUGCUUUUAUAUUUCUGUAUGUUUUAGUUCUUUAGCAAUUUCAUGCAAGUUACCAAAAUUAGAGGUUUGGGGCAAUUAGAGGUUUGGGGCAACAUAGAGUGAGAAUGUGAUUGAUUUUGGACAGUUAUACUUAGAAUAUUUUCACAGUUAUAUUGCUUCUGUACUCGCAUGUUUUUGUCAUCUAUUGAAAUUUCUCUGUUAUUUUAACUUUGGAGAGACAUUGCUUCCUUUGCAUUGCAGUUAUGCAUAUAUUACGUGGGACAGAAUCAAUUAUUUUCCUUUUGACCUUUUGGAUCAAUUUUAACUACAAUAUUUUUGCAUGUUUGUUCUUUUCUCAAUAAAAGGAAAAUUAUCUUCGUCAAUAAUCCCCUCAAAAGUACUAGCUUUCUCUUUAAUGCGUUCUUAAUAGCAAAGCAUUUAUACUGAUCUUUUAUCCCUUAGGAAGGUUCUAGUUGUCACAGAUUAAGCAUUUUGCAGAUCCACGGGCCAUUAUGUCUUUUAAGAUUGCUUUUAUAAUGGGUUUCUGCCUUGGGUUCAAAAUUGCAGCGAUUUUUUUUUUUUUUUUUUUACUGAAUGUAACCAUCUCCAACAGGCCUUUGCGCGCAUCCAUCCCCCUUUGCUUGCCAUACUGUUGAGUUAUGAUCCUUGAAUUUAGAAAAAUCACUCCUUACUAGUGUGCUAAUUAGUCUUAGUUGGACAAAUGUGAUCUAUCACAUUGACUUACAAUCCAUUUGCUACCUUAUAUGUAUAGUUUUAUUUGUAGCUCUGUCUGGAAUAGUCAUGAGUGACCUUUUUUUAAUCAAGUUUUACUGAGUUUGUUGGAAAAGUAAUAUUCCCAUUUAGUGUACAGGUGAGCAACUAGUUAUUAGUCCAUCCAUUGUGUGUAAGCAGUUCUGCUGGUUUUGUUUUAAAGUCCCCUCAUUUCUAUUGUAUUGUUAGCUUUAUAUACUAUGGAUGGUUUUAGAAUUAGAUGUGCAACCGCUUGCAAAUUACUUGGAACUUAACGAUAUGAUGAAUUUGAUUUGUUAUAUGAAUAGCAUCUAUCACAAAACCAAGUAGUUUUUUUCAUUGUCUUCUUGUGCUUUUUCUCCUUCUAUAAUUUCCUAAGCAAAUUUAGUUAGACCGUGUUGUUCUUGUCUGAUUUUACGUACGAUUUCUGAUGCAAUGCAAUCCCUCCCUUAAUGAUUCUAGUAGUGUUCCGCCAGCCACAAUGUGCUAUGUAGCAUCACAAUUUUGCAUGCUGGUAGAAGCUUUAUUCUUUAUGUUAUAUGGGUCAUAAAGCUCAAUGUCAGUUGGAUGCAGGAACAACAUUUUGCUUUGUUGCAGCGGGAGACAGAGAAACUUCGGGGUGAUAUAGAGAAAAUGCGAAGUGAACUCAGGUGCGAUUUCCGUUCUUAAAUCUUUGUGCUGCAUUUCUUUGUAAGGAAAUUUUUCUGGUCUUUACUUUGAGCAUCUAUAUCCUGAGGCAGAUACGAAAUUGACAAGGUCACUGCUGGGCAACGGCUGGAUUUAAACCUUGAAAGAGGGUAAGGCAUAAAGUAGUUUUACGCAUGCUAAUCUACUUCUAUACUGCAUCCUAAAGUCAGUCUUGUAUUAUAUUACUAUAUACUUCUUUUUUCGCUACAUAGCUUCUAUCUACAUUAUGUGCGAGGAUUGCACUUGGGAUUAUCUAAAGAAUUAAGUCUCCUUUUUGUUUGUAAUCUUAACUUGAACAAUAUAGAUGUUUUAAGCCUCAUACCGAGAUUGGCUCAAUCCUUACAUUUUCACUACACUGUCCUCGUUGUAAUUGAAGACAGAAGUCCCUAAAUAAUUUCAAUUAAAAUAACUCUAUAUCUUCCUGUUUUUGUAGACUAGCAGUCUUAGCUUUCAAUCACGAGUAAGGCGGCCAAAAUUAGAAAAGCAAUACGAGAAUUCAUACUUAUCAUCUCUGUACUCUUUUCAAUUAGCAUCUUUGUACUUAUCAUUGAUCCACAGGAAGAAAGUCUACAUUGAACAUGAUCUAAAAGCACUGAUUUUGUUUGACCGGCUGCAAGAUCUUGUUCAACUGCAUUUAUUUUCUGAUUUUUAGUUUCUUCUCAUAAGCAUUCCUUCUGUUGUUUUGAAAGCAAUCUAUCUUGGGCAGUAUGUGAUGUCAAUCAAUUUUUACAAAUUCUUUAUUUUAGCUGUUGUUCUGCAUGAUAAUUCAAGUGUAUGAAUGGACCUGAUCAUCAAGUUGCUGUGUCACAGUAACAUCAAGGCUAUGAUAUUGAACUGAGACCUGUUACUACUGGCAACGCCUCCCCAUCUAAUUAUUGAAGAAUACCUGGACUCUUUCAUGUGCUGAUAUGAUUAAUCUAAUAAAUGUAGGCGCAUACGUGAUGAACUAGCCAAGCAAGGUGCUGAAACUACAGAGCUCACUACGAAGCUUGACCGGGUGCGCUACCUUGAUAUAAUUGGAAAAGAGGGGCACAAAUUUCUAUGGAUGUAGUUAUUUGGCGAAAAAAUUAACACUUUUCUCUUUUUUUAAUUUUUUCUGCUUUUGUAACUAUGGGCCAAAUACUUUAGAAUCCCUAAAAUGCCCUUCCCCCUCAUCUCUUAUCCUGGGCCACAAAUGGGACAGGACCAUCUUCAGCCAAAAAGCAAGCUGGCCUCAAGUUCCAAAAACAGAAACAAGGGCCCUAAGGAAAAAAAGUGGAUUUUUUUAAUGUCUUUUUCAUUUAAAGGCUCAUGGAUGCCUGCAUCUUGCAAUUGGUUUAACACAGCUUCUGCAUAUUCUGAUGGGCAGGAAAUCCAUGCUUUGAGGGCUCAGCUCGAGGCAGCGAAACUUGAUGUCAUAAAGUAUUGCGUAGGGACCCUUGUUUCAGUAGCAGCGGUUGGCAUUGCUGUUCUCCGCAAUUGGAUGUAAAAACAUUCUUUCUUUUGGCAAUUCCCAUGAAAAAGGAGCAGCAACGGAAGUUCUUUUCCUUUCUGGAUACAUUGGCCACAAAUUGUUGUAAUCGUCUGUAGAAACUAUCAACAUCAUUACACAGCAAUGUCAGGAAGUAAAAUUUGUGAGUUGGCUCAAUUAUCUAGGCCUAUUUAGGUCCAUGUUUUACUGUAGAACUUGAAUUAUGUUCCUCUCUCCGAUCUGUAAUGUGGUCGGCAUCCUUUUUGCUUGUUCUCUUGGAGUUCGUUCCGAAUCUAAUGGUCCGUGAGAUAAAGAUGCAACAAAAAUCACAAAGCAGAAGAGUUCAGAAUAAAAUGUCCCUUAGUAAUCUUGGAUGGGGAAUUUCGCUAGUCAAGCUACGGAUACAAGGUAUGUAGGAAGUUCUUUCUUCGUCUCGCAUAAUGCUUUAUUGCUCCUGUAUUUGUCCCUCUUUGCUUUCCGGGGAAGUGCAACUUCAGUUAGAACGUAGAAUGCUCAAACUAUUGAUUUUUUGCAUUCUAUAAUCCCGGAAUGUGUCUAAUUGAUUUCCGCCAAUGGCACGGAUUGUCAUAUCCAGAAACCAGAUCUAUGCUACUAACCAACGUUUGUAAUGUAGCUUUUAUACCGAAUGUUUCGCCCUUGGCUUUUUGAUGCUGGAAGCAUGCACACAUCACAGUAUUUUGUUUUAUUCUUUAAGCCGAGAUUAAAUCCGAAUUUAGAAUGCCAUUUGUGUUAUUUGCGAAGCAUGUGUGGAGGAAAAGAUGUUUAGUGACAAUUAUAUAGCUGCAUUUACCGCACUUCAAUCAUUUCAAGAGCUUCCUGUUUUUGUUGUGUACUUUUGCACAAAAUUAUUUUGGAUUUGUAAAUAUGUGCGGUGAAAUUUGAUGCACUGACUGGCCAUGUAGACUAUUUACUGGUGAUCAUUUUAUUUACUGGUGGCCAUGUAGUAUGUGUUGGUGAAUGUAAUGCUACAUAAUAAUGUCUAUAGAUGGUAUAAAUGGAAUUCUCUGUUGGUAGAUGCCAACAUUACUAAGAGAAAGAACAACAGGGAGAGAUGGAAUGUAACUUGGUGCAAUAUGAGAUUUUGUUUUGAAAAUACGAAUUUGGAAUGAAUUUUUCCUUCAAAAUCCAUGUUGUUCUGGUUAUAAUUACUUUUCGAUCUUAUUUUUGUAAUUUUGAAUAUUCCUAGGAACUUGCUGUUAAAUUUAGUGCUUGUUAAUGAUGCAUCUUACAAAUGAAGGUGUUGAUAUGAUUAUUAUGCAAUUAAAGUCAUUAUCUUGAGCUUUUUAAGGUGGGAAAAAAUAUCAUAGCCAUAAGAAUAUAGUAAAAUGGGAACAAAUAUCAGCAUUGGGCUACAAUUUUUUUCAAUUUUUAAGCAAUGCUCGGUUUACAAUGCGAAGAGGAUUAUAAACCCUGCAACAUCAAAUUUUCUCAAUUAGUUUUAUCACUGUUUUUCUUUUUUUAAUAUCAAAAACUACAAAAAGGUACGUAAAUCCUAAACAUUCUUCGAUGACGUGUUGUAUGAUUACAAUAUUUUUUUGGUGGCAAACGUAGCAUUUCUCAUUUUUUGUUUAAAGUAUCAAUAAACAGGGUUAUAAAUCUCCAAUUAUUGGCUAUAUACAUUUAUAUAAAGUAGGCAUGUGGUGGGUGAUUUUUAGGUCCAGUGGGAACAACUGGCUGUAGCAAUAGAAAAAUGUAUGACACAUCAUGUAUUGGAUAGAGUCCAAAUCAAGAUAAGAUAAACUGAGUAUUGACACGAGCUUUUUUCGGUGGCUAUUUCCUCUACCAAACUAAGUAAUAAAUUCACAUGCCCACAUAACUUUAUACAAUAGGUUUUUUAAUCAGCUCCAAUGGUCAAAAACUUGAUAGCACCAAUGACUUGGUGCUAUUAACAGUAUAGUAGUCUAGUUCUAUAUAUAUAUAUAUAUAUAUAUUGUACUCUUAACACCUAUUCAUGGGUGUUAAUUAAUAGAUAACGCUACAGUAGGCAUUUGAUGAGACAAAAGAAUAUUGCAUUCCAAUUGUCUUUUUUUGCUUCACACGUCAUUCAUUUGAAACUUUGAAUGAUGUUUUACCUCUCAAUGUUUCUGUACCUGUUGUCUUCGUAUAAGACAAGUUGGGUCUAGAUGAAGCUUAAUGUAGAAAAAAAAAAAAAGAGGUUUAAUUGUUCCACUAAAACCUCCCAAAGAGCACUUUUGCUGCGGUAAAAAGAAGCAGCUUCUAAUUUGAGCUUGGUACUUCUUGAAGCCAAUGGUUAUUUCAACUAUCCACAUUGCCAAAAACAUUCAAUAUGCCACGUGCUAUGUGCUUGACCAUUACUUCUUAGGGCACAGAAGAUAUUUCAGAUAUCAGGCCUAGAAAGUAGGAAGUAGUUUUUUUUUCUUUUUUUUUUUUCCUUUUCUUUUCUUUAUUUUUGUGAGAAAAAGUAGUAAGCUGUUUUGUUUCUUCAUUUUAAGAAAUGAAUCCUAGUUGAUUCACAUUUAAAAAAUGAAUCCUAGUUGAUUCACAUUUCCAGCUAAAUUUAUUUUUAAAUGAAAUAAACGAAGCGGGUAGCAUACUACCUAUCUCUCUCUCUCUCAAAAAAAAAAGAAUUCAACUAGAAUUGUGAAAUAAUUAGAUUAUGAACUUAAAACCUUAGUUAGUAACUAUUAUGUUCCUAAACAAUUGUACUAGGGACGGCCUUUGUUUGCGUAAACAAUUAUUUCAAUACAGUUGAUUGAAACAACACCUUUUUAGCAAAAUGGCUAAACUUUUUUUUUUUGAUAGCUUUUUGGGGUUCUUAUUUUAGUUAUUUCCCAUAAUAAAAAAGAAAAACAUAAAAAAAUUGCCUGAACUAUGAACUAAUUUGAGUUGGCUAUUCAAUCUUUUAAAAUUUUAAUUUUACUGCUCUAUCUUAUAAUUUGUUUUAUUAUCAAGUCAGUCAAUGGUACUUUGAUUUUAAAUUUGAAUGCAGCAUUUAUUUUUACAUAUUUAAUUAGCAUACUUUAUGUAAUUCUCGAAAUUAUAAAUUUAUUAAAGUUAGUAGUUCACUUAAAUUUUGAAGUCAAAAUAUCAUUGACUGACUUAAAUCAAACAAAUUAAAAUAUUGGAUAGUAAAAUAAAAAAUUUUAAAAGAUUGAAUAGCCGAUUUAAAAUGGUCUAUAUAAUUCAGACAAGUUCUGUAAGUUUUUACCUAAUGGUCUUUUGUACUUAACCUUUUUUUUUGCCCUAUUUUUGUUGCUUAUUUGUUUCGUCGACCUUUCGAGGUCUCAAGUUAUAUCACUUCUGUAGCUAAGUUUAUUUACUAUCAAUAAAUAAAAAAAAAAUAGUCUUUUAUAUAUUGAUAGAUACCAAGUAGUCUUAUUAAAAACUUUCUUUUAAGAGAUCCGGUCAGAAAAUACUAUACAUAUAAUCCAAAAAGUCAGAACCGGAAUUUUUUAUUUUAUUUUAUUUUAUUAUUAUUUUUUUUUUUAUGAAAUAAACCUUCAACCUUUUUAAAAGUGUGACAGCGAAUUACUCUAUACUGUAAUUAUUAUAUCAAGAUACUAGGCACAGAUAGGUGCUCCGUGACUUGAGCAUUAUAAGUAAUAAAUAAGUAGAUCAAUAAAAAAAAAAUAGUGACUAAUAACUGGUGACUAAUGGACAAAGGUGAUCACCUCCUCUGAUCUUAUAAUAUAUUGCCAUUUUUUUGGGUAAAAGAGCAUGAUUCAACAUCAGAUCAAAUUAUCUUUCUUUUUUUCUUUUUAAUCCUUUUUUCACACCACCCAAAGUGGACAGUGCAAUGUUGUAAUCAACCCCCCUAUCUAAAUGUCACGCCCCGGAUUACACGUUCUCCGGGCACGCCGACAAAUCCGCCGUAUAUAAAGAAAUUUUUCCUGUAUACGAAGCGAUAGCUGUACAUGUAAAUCAUACAAUACUACAAACAGUAGUAUAGAGCUACUUGAAGAACCAGAAAUAAAACAAACCGAGUUCCAUAUACAUACGCCAAAAUUCAAGAUACAAGACUACUCGCACUGGCGAAUUAAAUAUGUAUGUACAUGAACUCCAACAAAAACAACUACCUGCUGUAGGGGCACCUUUAGCUGGGCUCGUCGGGUAGGGCUCUAACUCGCGACGCCCUUGCCUCAAUCUUGAUCAGCAACAGCAGCAGCCGAAGACGAAGGCUCUGCAAAAACGGGGUAACAACAGGGCGUGAGAACUACUGUAAAACAAGUAGUCCUCAGUGGGUGCCGCCCUCAACAUCAUCGGUCCACCCACUAAGUCUACAGAAGGGAGCAAAGGUAAUAAUAAAUGCCGGAAUAAAAUUUACAGCUACCAUUUAUUACUCUAUCAUGCUCUAAGCUAAUCUACUGUAGAAAUGUCAAUUCUGACCCAAUCUCUUUAGGGACUGUAAACAUACCUAUCCCAGGGACUGUGAACACACCGGUCCCGCCCAGUUGAGACUAUCCAGCUACCUCCACACUAACCAGUCCGUGGAGAGCAAGUCUAACCGGCAUGCACGACACCAACGCAAAAGCACAGCGCCCGCCUCCGGAGUGGCACUCGGGGGAGCUACCCAACCGAGUAUGCAGCGUAUCUCUGUCGAGCUCAAUCAGGCUCUCUCGAGCCAAAGUCUAAGUAACCAACACUAACUGGUCAAACAACUCAUAGUCACGUGCCAUCGGCACAAUCCGACGCCAAAAAGGCGAUAGGGGUCCACCGUCAACCCCGACGGCCCCCAACAGUCCGGAACAGUCUGAACGCUACUGUAAAAAUACACUCGGUAUCUCAGCAAGAGCGUAACAGAAAACUAAACUACCUGGGACAUCCGUCGCCUCGAUACUGCGAUGAUGCAAAAUUACAACGGCUCCUAGAGCUAAAUUAGGUAGUUUAGACAGAUGACAGGUCCAAAACGCUGAUUUUCUCCUAAGUCAAAUUCCAAGUCCAACAUGUAUAUUUAUGGUUUGCCAAUAAUGUACUCAAUGCUGAUUUCAUUCAUGAUACAAUCAACAAAAUGAACUACAACAUAAUUUACAAAAUUGAAAAUCAUACAUGUCGACUAAUACUGUGCUUAGGAAUAAACCGAUGUAACCCACCUCAAAAGCUAAACCCUGGCAGUGAAGGAGGUCACCGGAGUCCCUGCCAAGCUCGGCGCAAUCCAGCGAACCAGCGACAACAACACUUCACGGAUCUAGACCUAGAAACCCAUAAUAAGCAUCAAUUCUGCCCAAAACAAUAGUAGCAGAGUGGAACAGGGUUUCGACCAAGCUAACCUUCACCAAAAUUGACAAUCUUGGGCUUCGUGGAUUUCUCUCGAAGUCCUGAAUCCAACGAACCAAGUCUCGCUGCAAUCCGACGCUCCUACUUCGUGUACGAGUCGAAAUGCCAACGGUCGACGUAGAAAAUCUGCGAAACAGCAUCCUUGAGCUCGAAAGUGAUAAAGACUUGCCAUGGUUGGAGAAAUUGAUGAACAUCUCACCUCAACAGCGAUUCUAGCACCGGCGCGACGUCAAGAACGGCAAAAAUGCACCCCCGCCCGGCCUCGUCGCGAUGCAACGGAAACAAACGUGUGCUCGAACGGCUCCGCGGCACGACGUCGGCAAUAGAACAACUCCACCCAAGCUCCUCCACCACGCUCGGUCAUGCACAAGGAGAGGAGAGAGAGAGUGCUGAAGUCCUCUCCUCUUUGCUCUCUCUAUCCUAUAUAGGAGGGAGAAGGAGUGGGUAAAAACAACGAGGGAAGGAAAGACCAAAAAGCCCUUCAUCUAACCUGGCGUACCGGUACACGGGCCCACGUACCAGUACUAUAAGCCAACCCGAGAGCAGUCCGCGCACAGCCUGUGCAGUGUACCGGUACACCAUGAUGGCUGUACCGGUACAGCAAACAGAAAAACAGCUAUUUGCAGAUUUUUUCUUGCUAAAUGCUGCUCUCGCGUCGCACAGAGUCCGUUUUGCGUCUAUUUUGCGCCAACGCGACUCAGACUUGUCCCGACACUCUCUAGAACUGUCGACAAGUCUUCACUGCGCACACCAGGGAUCUCACACUAAACCCUUGCCUUCCAUUGCCAGUCUGCCAUGCAAUGUUGUAAUCAAAGGCUUUUUUUGCAUUUAGCCCCCUGGCAAAUUUUUAUUUUAAAAAUAAUUCUGUCAAAAUUUAAUUUGCAAAAAUGGCCCUGGGCCGGCCACGCAGGCGCCACGUCAGUGCCACGCGGGCAGGGCCGGGGUCCGUGUAUUAAGUUGAACACGGUGAACCAUUCACCGUGUUAAAACGCGUGAAUGGUUCACCUUGUUUAGUACGUAUUUUUUGUAUAUUGAAAAGAGGAAUAGGGAGUAGGGAUGUCAAUAUGUAUGGAUAUCCGAAAUAUUAUCCGAAUCCAAACCCAAAUAAAUUAUAUAUAUAUAUAUAUAUAUAUAUAUAUAUAUAUAAAUAUAUAUAUAUAUAUAUAUUAUAUAAAAUAUUUAAUAAUUUUUAUUUCUUAGAUCUUCAUCCAACGAUAUAGAUUUUUAAAACCCGCUGGGUUCAGGUUCGGAUUUCGAGUUUUUGGUUGGAUAUUGAUAUAUUUUAUAUAAUUUGAAAAGUAUAACUUUACUAGUUUAUUAAUGUAUCUUUAUUUUAUCAUAAAAAUUUACCGUCAAAUAGAAUAUGCCAAUUUGCAUAAAAAAUCCACUAGUUUUGGGCUUUUGCAAAACCGGGCAACCUUUUUCGUUUUUAUAGAUUCGGUCCGCUUUUUCAAAAAGAUGACCAAACUACCCCUCUUUCAAAAUGCAUAAGAAGUACAUGCAUUAAUUAUCUUGAAAAAUACAACUGACAAAUUAUUAUUACAGUUAUCUUUUUCUUGAAAAAUAAAAUUCUCAUUAACAUACAAAUAAAAAAUAUCAAAUAAUAAAAGUAAAAAAGAAAGAAUGGAAUACACUUUAAAUGGUGCAACAUCGUUUCAAAUUUUGUAAUAUUUUUUCUAAAUAGUGUAAUAUUUGUGUAAACAGUGCAAUGUUUGCACAAGUUAUAUAAUGUUCCAUAAUUUUUUAUACUAAAUUACGAAUAAUAUAGUAUACGACGCGCAAAUAAUAUAACAUAUUAUAAUAUACUAUAAAAAUCAUGCAUUAUAUGUAUAAACGGUAAAUAUUUUAUAUUAUUUGUACAAAUAUUUACACCAUUUGUAUAGAUGUUGUACUAUAAUGAGAGAAUGUUGCACCAUUUAGAUAUUAUAUUACACUCUUUCUUUUUAAAAAUUAAAAUUUAUUGUAUAUUAAAUAAAGUAUUAAAUUUUUUGAAAAUGACGACUGUUAAGUUAUAAUUACAUGUACCUUUCUCGAGAGACGAGAAUCCUCAUUUAAUUAAGAUAAAAUAAAAAAUAAAAUAUCAUUAAUACAAUGAAAGAGUGCAACAUCCUCAUAAAGAGAGCAACAUAGUCUCAAAUAGUGCAAUAUAUGCAUCGUUAAUACACAUAUUGCAUGAUUUUUAUACAAAAUUACGAAUACUAUAAUAUAUUACGUGAAAAUAACACGAAAAUAAUAUAACAUAUUAUAAUAUACUAUAAAAAUCAUGCAUUAUAUGUAUAAACGGUGAAUAUUUUGUACUAUUUGUACAAAUAUUUACACCAUUUGCAUAGAUGUUGCACUAUUAUGAGAUAAUGUUGCACCAUUUAGAUGUUAUGUUGCACUCUUUCUUUUUAAAAAUUAAAGUGCAUUGUAUAUUAAAUAACUGUUAAAAUUUUCUUGGAAUGACAGCUGGCUAGUCAUAAUAUUAUGUACAUUUUCUCGAAAGACGAGAAUCCCUCAUUAGUUAAGAUUAAAAUAAAAAUAAAUUAUCAUAAUACAGAAAGAUUGCAACAUUAGAAUAAAAUAUGAAGCAUUCUCUCAAUCGUUACACAAUUUAAGAGAUGUUGCACUAAUUUGAGAGAAAUGCUGAUCUUUCAUCUUAAUUAAUAUAGUUUACUUUUUGUAUUUUCGUCUUAAAAUUAGCAUAUCUCGUAUCUCGGAAAUACAUACAAUUAUUAACUAACUUUUAGUUUCAUUUCUAAGAAAUUGCAACUUUUUAUUUAGUAGAUAAGCACUUUAAAUUCUUUUUUUAAAAAAAGAGUGGAACAUAUCAUCUAAAUAGUGCAAAUAUUCUCCUCAUAAUAGUUAAUAUAUAAACAGAAUGGGUGUAAAUAUUAUACAAUAAGACAAAAUAUGCAUCGUUGUUUUAUAAAUAUGAAAUAUAUCAUUUUUAUAGGUAUUUGUUGAUAUGUUAUAUUAUUUCGGUUGUUAUUUCACUAAUAUAUUAUAUUAUUCGAUUUAUUGUAUAAAAAUCAUUCAAUAUGUGUAUAACGAUGCUCUAUUCGCACGUUUAUUCACAUAAAUAUUGCACUAUUGAAAAAAUUUGUACUAUUGAACUAUGUUACACCUUUCAUUGUAUAUAUGAUACUUUUUAUUUAUACUUAAUUAAGACUGAGAUUCUCGUCUCUCGAAAAAUUACAUAAUAAUUAUAACUUAAAACAGUUGUCAUUUUCAAGAAAUUUAACACUUUAUUUAUAUACAAUGCAUUUUAAAUUUUUUUAAAAAAGAUCAACAAUAAAAUCUAAAGUGUGCAACAUUAUCUCAUAAUAUCACAUCUAUGCAAUUAACAAUACUUUGUACAAAUAAGUGCACAAAUAUUUACCUGUUUUAUAAACAUAUAAUUGUUUGUCCUAGUGCCACUAAUCGUCUAUUAAUUUUGAUGAUCAACAUAAUUAAUCACGAUAUUGACUAAUCUUUCUUAUCUUGAGUCUUGUGUUUUAGAUCUCUCUAUCUUCAAAAAGGAUUCAAGAUGGGCAAUAUUCUAGCACCAAGCUUCACUACUUGAAGCUGUGAUUUGCUUCUUUUGUCAAAUAGACAAACUCACUCUCUUCAUUCUUAAUUUGAUUAAUAUUAUACCUUAUGAUUAAAAUGAGAAACUUUGAGCUAAGUUUAAACUAUUCAUCUUAUCACCUUAUAGAUCACUUAAACAAAUUUCUAAAUUUAUGAUUAGGUGAAAAGGACUUUUAAAUAUUCAAAAAUUGCUCAAAUUCUGUGUUCUGUAAAAUUGCAAUUUCUGGAACCUGUUCUGGGCGCCCUAAAGUGGAUCCGAAUCUUUUGAGACCUUUUGGAUCCUCCCUGUUUGCUGUUCGGGUGAUCCAGAAACACCAAGACUAUUUGACUUGACAGGUUGCGACAACAGGCGGCGCAAAAUCUAGGCGCCCAGAUUUUAUGGAAGAAAAGCGGCGCACGCAAUCUGGGCUGUCUAGCAAGAAAGUCAGCACGAGAUCUGGGCGCCCACAACUUUCUGAUGGCCCAAAUCCAGAGGAAGCGGCGCGUGUCAGAAAAGCGGUUCCUCGUGUUCUGUGCACCCACAACUUUUGACGGCCCAGAACUUACGAAGUCAAGAAAAGCUGCGCAUGUCAGAAAAGCUGUUCCUCGAGAUCUGGGCGCCCACAAAUUUUUGACGGCCCAAACAUACAAAGUCAGGAAAAGUGGCGCACGUGGUCCGACAGGCAGUUGGCGUGCACAAACUUCUGGGCGCCCGGAAAUAGUUUUAGGGCGCCCGAAAGUGCAACCGACAGAGGCUGCCCGAGGCUAUAAAUAGAUGGUAUUGAGGCCUCUCUCAGCAGCAACUUGAUAGUUCAUUUGAGCUUAAAAACUUCAGUGAUCUUAAUACUCUUAGCUCUCAAUUCUCUCUCUAAACUUGAGUGAAACUUGUAGUGAGAUUUAAUCUUGUAAAAAAAAAGAGAGAAAAGCAAAAUCUUGAAGCUUGAAAGAAGAAGGAGUUGAUGUGAAGGCUUGGUGCUUGCCCGCAAAAGUAUCAUCUAGUGGAGAUCCAACAUUCUCGAGUAUUGAGAAGUUGGCGGGGACGUAGGCAAAGUGCCGAAUCUCGAAACAAAUUAAUCGUGUGCUUUUCGAAUUUGCAUUUCUUUUAUUUGCAUCGGGUUUUUAAUUUGCUUGAUUAUUUGGAUUUUUAUUUUAGAAACCUAAUUCACCCCUCCUCUUAGGUUGCCAUUUUGAUCCUCAAUAAUGCAUAAUUUUUAUAGUAUAUUGUAAUAUGUUAUAUUAUUUUCAUGUUAUUUUCACGUAAUAUAUUAUAUUAUUCAUAAUUUUGUAUAAAAAUUAUGCAAUAUUUGUAUUAACGAUGCAUAUAUUGCACUAUUUACAUAAAUAUUGCAUUAUUUGGAAGAGAAUGUUGCACUAUUUGAGACUAUGUUACACUCUUUAAAAGAAUGUUGCACUCUUUUCAUUGUAUUAAUGAUAUUUUAUUUUUUUUUUAUCUUAAUUAAAUAAGAAUUCUCGUCUCUUGACUCCGAGAAAGGUACAUGUAAAUUAACCGACUUAGCCCAGUAUCAUUUCUAAAAAUUAUUUAACACUUUAUUUUAAUAGUACAAUACAUUUAAUUUUUAAAAGAAAGGAGUGCAAUAUAAAAAAAUCAGUGCAACAUUCCCGUCAUAAUAGUGUAAGUUUAGUACAAAAUGGUGUAGAAUACUUGUACCAAAUAGUCUCUUAACAAAUCUCUCACGUUUAAAUAUAUAAAUACAUUAUUUCUUCUAUAGUAUAAUUAGAAAUAUAUAUUAUUUGGUCGCGCUAGAUACUAUAGUUAUUGCGUAAUUUGAGUAUAUUAAAAAUUGUGCAAAACAUUAGAUUGUUUUACUACAAAUAUUAUAGCUAGUUGAGAAUAUAAGUUGCACAAAUUUGGAACGAUGUUGACUCAUCUUAAGGUGUAGUUCCUUCUUUCUUUUUACUUUUAUAUUUGAAGUUUUAUUUGUAUGUUAUUGGAAAUGUUAUUUUCCAAAGAAAAAUGUAAAUUAUAAUAAUGACUUGUCAGCUGUAAUUUUUCAAGAAAUUAAAUAUAUGUCACUUCCUUAUUGCAUUUUGAAAGAGGGGUAAGUUUGUGGUCCAUCUUUUUGAAAACGGACCGAAUCUGUAAAAGACGAAAUAUGAGGGCCUCGGUUUGCAAAAGCAUCAAAACCAGUGGAUUUUUAUGCAAAAAUUGGCCGAAUAGCAAUAAUAAAAUACUACAAUUUUUUUUUUAAAAAAAAUCCUAAGUUAAUAGAAGUUAUAACUUCACUUAAAAAUUAUUAAUAGUGUGGUGAAAAGAAGCAAAACUAUAAAUUUUCUUUUUAAUACUUCGAUGUCCUAUAAACUAUUAUUACUGAAUAAACAGCCUUAAAUUAUUAUUUAUUUAAUUAUUAAUAGUAUACGAUUUGAACUAAAAUAUAACCUGGGCUCUUUUUAAAAACUACCCUAGUAUACUUAAUAGCAUGUAGUAAUUUUUUAAACAAACAAUGUUUCGUGUGGGCACCAGGAUUGCCUUUAUCUUUCUAUAUAUAUAUUACUAUAAUAGGCAGGACGUGUAAUAAACCUGAGGUUAGUAAAAUGGGCAAAUUGUUCAUUGGUUACUAGAUAAAACAAACCCAAUAACAAAUAAAAAAGCAAAAUGUUUCUAAAAUUUAUACAUUUUUCUUUCUCUUCUUUCUUUUACAAGCCUAAAUUUUCAAUAAAGUGUUUUUCUCUUUCUCUUUUCUCUAUCCUUCCACCGCUAUAGCCCAACUCGGAAGCCCAUGCACAAUUUACCAAAAGUAACCAGUCAUAGUGCCCGCCGUGCUACCUUUCUAUUAAAUCUGUAAUAUUGAGAAAGUAUAUAAAAUAUUUUUAAAUAAAAAAUUAUUAUUUAUCAUAAAUUUUAAUUUUAGUUAUAUAUGAUGGAAUAGUUUAAUCUAAUAUUGUAUUCUAAUAAUUUAAUUUUUUUUGACAACGAUAAAUGAAAUGAAUAAUAUGAAGAUUGAAGGCCGGAAAGAAGACAUAUGAAGGCGAAAAAGAUUAGAUAUUCAACUUAUAAAUUAUUUUUGUUUCAUAUUAUAAUACCAUAUUUUCAUAUAAUAUUUGUACUUUGAACUAUUAGAUCAUAUUCUUGUAUCAAAUUAUAGAUAAUUGUUCUAUAAACAAAUUAAACUAUUGAUACGUAUGAUUUCAAAUUUCAAGCAGUUUGUUAGGACUCGGCUCGCCCAGACUCGAAUUAGGCUCGCUCGAGCUCUAACUAUAUAUUUUAAUUAGUAAAAAAUUGUGCAAACAUCUCAUUGUUAACACAAAUAUUAUACUAUUCGAUGAAAUAUUGCACAAUUCGAACGAUGUUGAACUCAUAUUAAAUUCUAUUCCAAUUCUUUCUUUUUAUAUCAUUUUACUUAUUUAAUCUUUUUAUUAUGUAUGUUAAUGACUGAAUUAUUUUUUCAGAAAAAUGAAUUUUAUAAAUAACACAUUUCAGCUUGUAUUUUUCAAGACAAUUAAUAUAGAUACUUCUUUAAAUGCAUUUUGAAAAGGGUUAAUUUGUCAUCUUUUUGAAAAACGAACCGAAUCUUAAAACGAAAUGGAGGCCCGGUUUGUGCAAAAGCUCAAAACCAGUCGGAUUUUUUUGCAAUUGGCCCAAUAGAAAAUAAAAUAAUACCUAAUUUUUUUUUUAAAAAAAUCCUAAAAUUAAUAAAUGUUAUAAUAUUAAAAAUUAAUAGUGUUGAAAAAGAGCAACAUAAAUUCUUUUAAUACUUUCGAUGCCUAAAACUAUUAUCUACUGUAAUAAAACAGUUAAAUAUUAUUAUUUAUAUAUAAUUAGAUACUAUGAACUUAUAAUAAAUAACCUUAGGGUGUGGGGAUGUUGGUCUUAUUUUUAAAACCCCCUAUUACUUAAUACAUUAUAUGAUUUUAAACAAACAUGUUUCUGUUUGGCACCUAUCCGAGGAUGCCUUCUUUCUUCUUUAUAAUAUAUAUAUAUAUAUAUAGCCGGAGUGAAUAACCCUGAUUAUUAAAAAUUGGGCAAAAUGUUAUUGUCUAGUAAAAACAAACCAACUAGACAAAAUAAAAAACAAAUUUUCUAAAUUAUACAUUUUUAUUUUAUCUUCUUUCUUUACAGAGACCUAAAUUUUUCAAUAUUUUUUUCAUCAUUUUCCUUUCUCUACUCUCACCCUAAGUGGCCAACAUCGACACCCUCCAAGUUACAUCGGGGGGGGCGGGGGGUAUAAACAGAUAAUCCCGCCGUUCCGAUACCUUUCUAUUAAGUAAUUUGAAAGUAUAUUAAAAUCAUAUUUUUAAAGUAAAAAUUAUUAUUUAUAUAUAAAUUUUAAAUUUCUAGUUAUAUAUGAUUGAAAUAGUUUAAAUCCUAAUCAUAUCCUAUAACAUUUAUUUUAUUUUUUGACCGCAUAAAAAAAUAAUAUAAUAUGAAGAUUGAAGGCGGAAGAGAAGACAUAUGAGUGCUUGAAAAACUUACGAUAUUACAAUCUUAUAAAUUAUUUUUUUUCAUAAUUUAUAAUACCAAUAUUCCAUAUAAUUAUUUGUAACUUGAACUGAUUAGACAUAUUAUUGUAUCAAAUAAUUAUAAUUCUAAUAACAAAUUAGAACUAUUAUCGUCAUGAUGUUGAGAUAAUUCAAGUCAGCUUUGUUAAUGACUCGGCUCUGCCGACUCGAAUUUAGCUCGCUCGGAGCUCGGCUCGAAUUAAUUUCAAACCAAGCUUGAGCUUAAAUUUAGGCUCAAAAUUAAUUUCAAGCCGAAUUUGAGCUGAGAUAAGCUCGCUCAAGCUCGGCUCGUUUCCACCCCUACCCUCCAUCUGGUUUGUUAUAAUUAUAAUAUAAUUCGGCCGGAGUGCGGCAAAAUUUUUUUAGAGUUCAAAAUAUAAUAAAAUUUUAAAACUUUAGUUAUAUUAUCGUCUACUGACUAAACUACAGUUUGGCUCCUACAUUACAACUUAUCAAUUUUAGAAAAUAGAUACCAAUAAGAAGAAAUAUCAAAGUUGAAAAUAAAUUUGAAAGAAUUCAAAAUUCAUUAUUUUCUUUUUAAUAUUAUUUUUUAAAAAAUCCUUAAAAAUACUAAAAAUAGUAAAGUAUUUAGAAAAAUUAAAAAAAAGAGACCCAACUCCAACCAUCUGCAGAGACUAACUGAUCCAACUACAGUUCUCUCCAAUAUAGAAACCAACUAGAAGAAAAUGUCAAAGUUGGAAAUGAAUUUAAAAGUAGGUAAGAACGCACAAAGCUUAUCUAAAAUAUGAAUCAUUCUAAAUCUGUUAUCCAACCUUUCAAAAUUUUGGUUUACUAUCCGACCUUUCGAUUUAUUUGAUUUGAGUCAGUUACCCGUACUUUGAGUUCUUAAAGCUAAUUACUUAUUUAAAUAAAUUUAUUGUUGCGAUAACUCAUUACCUGUAAGGACUGAGAUUUUGAUAGUGUACCUGAACUCUCUGUUGAUAAUGUUUUUGUGUGUAAUUUAAUUACAUAAGCACUCGUCAAGUUUCGGAAGAAAACGAGUUAGAACGGAGAAGUUACGCGAUCUUUAGUAUUCACUUAAGUAAAUAGUAACUCCGGUUUUCCGGAGAAGCCGCGAAGUAGUGCUGGCUAUUGGCGCGUAUUGGACUCCGAACAUAGGACUCCAAUAGCUCGUUUCGAACGGCUCAACUAUUCUAAACCCAAUGGCAUUGACGGAAUUGGGUUCUGAUGCACGGUUGUCGAGAAAAAGGGGUUUGAUUGAAAUUACAUGUUUUCAUAUAUGUAGUUAUAUGGUGAAAACAAAGAGGGAUGGUUUUAUCACAAAUCGAGAACCAAUCGGACGAAGUAAGAUGCUAGAUUCGAUGCCCCAGUCGUGCUGAACGUGCUGGUGCGAUCCAUUCAGAAAUCUGACGGACGGAUCUUCAGGAAUCACGAAAAGUCCGCUAUGGGGUCAAAUUGGCAAAAUGGUUAAAUCGCGAAAAGACCUAAUAUUUUAUGCACCGUCUCGCGAGAUUUUGAACGUUGAGGGACUUAUAAGCAUAAUGCACAUGCUGGCAGGGGGCUUAGCUGAAAUAUUACUGGAAUAGGGGGGUGUUCCGCAACAUUACACUAUAUAUAAAUAGUGUUCUAGGGUUCAACCAUAGAACCCUAACACUAAUUCGCAUUCCCAGCUGAUCUUAUCCACCCAAGCCGCACUAUAGUCCUCUGCCCUGCCCGUGCUCACGCUCCGGCCGCCAGUGAUCACCUCCGGCUGCCGGAAAAGCCACCCCGGCCUCCCCUCAACUUCUCUUUCUAACCACCUUGCCACCAGCUCGAUUGUUGUGCUCGGGGAGGCAUCAAAACCCGAGCUUCAACAUCCCCUGGCUGAGACCCAUUUUCGGCAUCUUCCCCGCCGACUCCGGCCAUCCCCGUGCCCUGCCGGAGCCCCGCGAGCUCCCUGCGGCCACUGCCGUCAGCCCAGGCCGAGCUUGGGUGACCUCGGUCUUGGCGCUCCGCCGUCGCCCCCCAUCGGCCUCGCCGCCCUCCGGUGACCUCCGGCAACCUCCUGCUUGCCGCCCCGCCGUCCCCGCACGCUGCCGGCCGCCGCUCAGAUCCCCUGCAGCCGCCCAGACCCCGUGCGGGCCAAGGCCGAUUCCUCCCGGCUCCCAAGCUCCGCCGCCGCCCACCGACGGGAGCACCACCUUCCCCUCGGCCUCCGGCGUCCAACCGUCGCUGCCCUGAGCUCCUCCGGUCACCGCGCGGCUGCCGUGGACGUAGAACCCGAGAACUAGCUAAGGGUUUUGAUCUCCUCUGCCGCGCCACCGGCCGCCUCCCACCGCCGGCCUGAGGGUUCCCCGGACCCCACCUACCGACCGCACCCUCCCCUGGCUGGGCCGCCCGCCGUCCGGCCGGCGGCGACCAACCCUAGCUCUCCCUGACUCCGGUAUGCUGUUUUUAUGUUCCAGCACAUAGUCUGACGUUUCCGGUCACCUUUUCGGUGAUCCGAUAAGUCUCCUUCACCUCGGGAAGUGAGCACGAUGAUCUAAGACUCGUGCUGAACAUCGUGUUCACCUCCGGCAGGGUUAAAGAUGUCCUGGUUUGUGUAUUAGAUGCGACCUUAGUGCUGUGCACGCUGUUUUGCUGAUUUCUGCGUCGCUCGUGCGCACGCCACAGUGGCCGGCAGUGCUCCGAAAGGUGAGCACGGCCUCCGGCACGCUGAUACCUGUCAACAGGUGUCUCGGCUUAGCCGAUUGACCUAUGGUUUGCGUGUACUGACCAUAAAAGCCCCGAAAUCGCAUGGAACAAUGUGAUUUUGGGUAAUCGGGAGGGCUUUUAUGCAAUUUGGGUUGUUGCGGCUACUGUUGGCAGCAUGGAUGAGCUAAGGGUGACCUCUGGAUUGAUUGUCCAAGGCCCCAACCUUUGCGAGGAUCAAAAAGUGAUUUUCGGUACGUUUCUCGGCAAAAUCCACCGACGGAACGCGGGUUCAGUUUGGAAUUCUUCCGACGGUGCUUUGUGAUGAUUUGCUAUGUCGCUGAGCCUUGUUGGCUGGUCACUCGCGUCAUUUCAAGGGUUCAGAAAUGACGGGUGAGCGACGGUGGGUUCCGGUGUCGAAAUAGACACUUUCGGGAGCCCGGAUCCUAACGAUUAUCCGACGAUAAUUGUUUGGAGGCGAGAUUUUGUGUUUGCUACCAGGACACACAAAUAUUAGUGUUUGAUGGCAGCGGGUGACUCGUAGCACAAGUCGGUGCAUUUCGGGACAAUUCGUGAGUCCCGGCGGAGUCCCGGUGCGAUUUUCGGGACUUCCGACGUGUUACGGUAGUUGGUUUUGGGGAAACCGAUCUCCGUGGGUUUGUUUGUGGGUGAUGGAUUUAAUGGUUAUUAGUUGUGGGUUAGACACUAACCCGGUGGACCUUUCUUAGGUCCAGUUGACAUUCUUUCGCUGUCAGGAGACAGGUGCGACAUUCGUAAAGGUGGGUACUUCGAUCCGAAGUCGGUACAGUGGUGCACGCUCGGUGAUAUCCUUCUAUUCCUGUUCUCCUGUUAUUACUAUUGCGUAGUAUAGUAUAUUGAGCCUUGCACCCCUAUUGUUUACAUCUUACUCUACUCGCUGUUUGCAUGAUUAGUAUCCUGAGUAGAAGUAGAGUAGUUAUACCAUGUUUCCUUGUUGCUCUACUUAGCUAUUCUACAUAUCCUGUAUCAUGUUUAGAGUAGAGCGGUUUCGUGAUUUCUUGUGAGAUCGGUGACCUAGUCGGUCGGUUCCUUGACUUCUGUCGUUCGAUGACCUAUGAGGUCGGUGUACCCUGAGGGGUAGGAUUGUCGGUUUGUGGCUGACGAUAGUUCCAGAUUAUAUUGAUAUACUCUUGAGACCUAUUGGUCAGUUCUUGCAUUUAUAGUUUAGUUGACCCAUUGAGUAGUAUUUGCAUAUCUUUGAGAGGAUGUUGAGUUGUUCCAUCCUAGUUGACCUGAGUGGUCGGUUCUUGUACUUCCUUACAGUUGGAUGACCUUUUGGUCGGUUAGCCCCGAGGGGCGGUGAUUGUCGGCUGGUUGCCGACGGUUGGCUAUUGAUCAUAUCCGCAUUGAUCGCCACAGCUCGAGUGCAUUUCACGUACACCAGCGGGUUGAUCCCCCGCAGGAGGGUGUUCUUUUCCGGAAAAGUGGUCGUACAUCCGACCCGUGAGCCCAGCGGUGUUCUCUUUGUGUUAGGGUUACAUGCCAGGUGUGAGCAGGUAGUGGCUUUUGCUUGAGGUCCUUAGACCGAUACGGCGGUUUAGAUUGGGUACUUUUGGACUUCUCGUCCGGUUGACGCAUAUAGCUAUAGUAGCGGUUGUUGCAUAUAUACUUACAGUUCUUUCUUUACAGUUGUCUUACUACUAUAGUUUUGAUAUCCUUGUAUGCUUGCAGUUGUACAUUACAGUAGUGGUAGUUGUGCUUUUAUAUAUAUAUCUCAUUCGUUCAUUAUCGUUGCUACUGUAUUUCACUUACCCAUACUGUUGUUUAUCUCUUCCUGAUCCGGUGAGUACUCCUUACCUUAUUUGGCUUGCGGUACCCACUAGGAGGGGAGACAUGUUUACAUGUUCUCACCUCUCCCACCAUUUUUCAGGUAUUACGGGCGGUGAGGGUUGAGACGAGACGUGAGACACGUUCGUAGCAGUCGAUAGAGCUUCCGACCCGGUUUGUUGGUUUAGUUACUACCUUCUUUACUUCUGUUGAUAUAUCUUAGACAUAUGGUUUAGUUGGUUUUGUUUACUUUGAUAUAUAUACACAUGGUUUUGUGAAAUUAAAUAAAACACUCGUGGCUUUCAUGUAAAAUAUUGGAAAUGGUUUUCUACCCCUCGUGGUAGCGUUUAAAGAAAAAGGUUCCCGUGUGGGAAAUAGAUUUAAAAAAGGUUUUCGUGGAUUUAUGAUUAAACUCUAAAUGAAAAUCUGUUGUGAAUGGUGUAUGAAUGUAUAAAUGAUUAAAUGUUGUAUAUUCAUUUGUUGUUGUUGUAUCCUGGUUAUAUGUCUUGUACUUGUGCGAUGCCGUGCAAAUACAGUGGAGACUCUGUCCGUGAGAACAGUGGACUCUCUGUAUUUGUGGUGGAUCUGGCAUACCAUGGGGGUUAGGUUUUCAAAAAAAAAAAAAAAAAAUUUGGACGCUUCCGCUAUGCAUUUAAACUAAAAAGGACCCCGGGGCGUGACAUUAUCCUUUUUUUAUAACAUUUUAUUUUAUUAGACGGGAAGUCGGUUAAAGAGAAUCCGACUAUAAAAUGACAUCCCACUUUUCUGAAAAGAAAAAAGAGAUAUGAUCAAUCUUUUUUUAACUAAAUAAUCAAACAAAUUCAGUUUUUAAAAGUUUCAUUUUUUUAUACUUUACUUUUCAUCAAUCAAACAUGUCCCCCAAAAAAAUUCUAAGAUCAUAAUCUUUUAUCUUAUAUUAUUUUGAAAAAAAAUAUUAAAAAAAUUAUAAAAAGUAUGAAAAAAAGCCAGAACCUAACACAGUCCACAAGGAAACUCACUUAUCCAAGUCCACUCCUCCCUACUUCCAAGUCAACCCCCCCUCUCCUCUUUCACUUCACUUCUCCUCCUCCUCCUCCUCCUCUCCACCACAACCAACCCACUUCCAAAAUACAACACUGACAACAACAAAAGCUACAAACCACAAAAAGAAGUUAUAAAAGACCAGCUACAAAUAAAAGAACCCAACACCUGCAAGAGUAAAAUCAAGGAAUAGCAGAUGAUAAGAAAACGAUUCAAACUUUUUUUAAGGCCCCAAAUAAAUUACCAUUACUUUUUGAGUUUGAAUUGAACCGACAAUCUCCUGGAUAAAUCAGCCAUCCCCACUGCCCAAUAACAACACACAACAACAGAUCUUGGGCUCUCUUAAUUACUCCUCUAUUACUACUACGACUACUACUACUACUAAUACUAAUUCUAAUAUUACUAUUAUUGCUGCUGCUGCUGCUGCUGCUACUACUAGUGCUUUUUUUAGGGGAAGAAAUGGCUUUGGCUUCUGCUUUUCAGAACACUAUUUUUGUCCUCCUCCUGCUGCAGCUUCUGCUUCUUGGGACAUCUUCUGGCAGUAAUGUAAGGUUAUCUCACUGCCCAUUUUCUGAUUUUCUGUACUGAUGUUAUGUAAUGCUUAAACAUGGGGUUUUGCUGUUGUUGUCGUUGUUGUUGUUGUUGUUGUUCUCAUGGUUAGGUGUACAUUGUGUACAUGGGGGAGAAACCCCAGAUGCAGCCACACCUUGUUCAUGAACUCCACCAUGGGAUCCUCACCAGUGUGCUUGGGAGGUCUCUCUUAAUUUCCUUUUUCAGUUUUGCCUGUUAAAUCACUUUGUUUAAUCUGCAAGAUUGACAGUAACUGUUCCUUUGAAUUUAGCCACACAAAUUUGCUGCAAUAAAGGCUUAUUAUUUUGCUGUUUCUAGUGAAGAAGAGGCGAAAACAUCAAUUCUUUAUAGCUACAAGCAUGGGUUCUCAGGAUUUGCUGCUGUGCUCUCGGAAUCUCAGGCGGCCCGCCUUGUCGGUGUGUAUUUGGAGGAUGACAAGUUGAUUUGAAUUGUUCUUGUUCUUCUUCUCUUUUUUUUUUCUGGGUAUCAUUGUUUCUGAGAAUUAUUUAUUUUCAUUUUGUUGCAUAAUGAAUUAAUUCAGACUGGCCCGGAGUUGUUCGGGUUGUCCCGAACCGGAUUCUUGAAUUGCACACCACCAGGAGUUGGGAUUUUCUGCAUCUGAGUCCAGAACCCUCAAAUGGGCUCCUCUCAUUGAGUAGAUUCGGCGAGAGGUCGAUUAUUGGUGUGUUGGAUACUGGUGAGUCUAAUGUUUUAAUGAUUCAUCAUAAAAAUUGUAGGUUGGAGCUUCAUAUUUGUUGAAGUUUGCCUAUGUACUUUCAUUCAAAGGAAUAUGGCCAGAAUCCGAAAGCUUUAAAGAUGAUGGCAUGGGAGAAGUUCCGCCACGGUGGAGAGGGAAAUGCGUCGAAGGCGAGAAGUUUCGUGCUUCAAACUGCAAUAGGUUGGCGACUUUCAUCCUCACACCUGCUUCGUCGACAAAGCAGAAUAUGAUAUUCUUCAUUUAUUUAGGACUAUCUCUUGAUGUCAGUUGUAUCUCUCUUAGUUUGUCAAGCUAUAUAUAUGUCGCAUAUCACCUUUUCGACUCAUAUUUUUAGAAAGAUUUUUUGUCCGAGCUCUAUCAUAUAGUAUUCUUCGCUUAUAAAUCGACAAAUAUUAUUAUCUUACUGAACAUUCUAAACAAAGCCUAAGGAUUUCUUUCAGAUUCGAAGUAAAUUUACUCGCCAUUUCAAUUGCUCUAAGAGUCGCGAUAUUUCUUUUCUUGGGUUUCAUUCAACUACUAGUCGAUUAACAAUGUUACUGCAUGAGGUGUUGUCCUACUAAAUAUCCUACUACAUUUGACCAAAUGAUGUAUGAGUCUCAAUACUGAGGUCUCCUAUUUCAUUGCCCUCUAAUUAGAUUACCCUUUUCCUAGAGAGUCUUGCUUGCUUAUGUCGAAAAAUGUGAAACUCAAACCGUCCGAGAACUUGCAAUUAUCACGGUGGUAACUUGAAAGCUUCAUGGUAGGUUUCUUUCCGCAGGAAAAUAAUCGGAGCACGGUGGUACAUCAAAGGAUAUGAAGCUGAAAACGGUAAACUAAACACGAGUGAAGUGUUUGAAUUCCUGUCUCCCCGCGAUGCUGUCGGUCACGGCACGCACACGUCAUCGACUGCCGCCGGUGCCUUAGUGGCCAACGCAAGCUUCAAUGGGCUUGCUCAAGGCUUAGCGAGAGGAGGAGCUUCACGGGCCCGACUUGCUAUCUAUAAAGUAUGCUGGGCCACAGGAGACUGCAGCUCUGCAGACAUUCUCGCCGCUUUCGACGAUGCCAUACAUGAUGGCGUGGAUGUUCUAUCAGUUUCUUUGGGCCAAGCGCCACCUCUCCCUACUUAUGUCGAGGAUGUUUUGGCGAUCGGCUCCUUUCAUGCCGUGGGCAGAGGAAUUUCUGUUGUUUGUUCUGCAGGGAAUUCCGGGCCGUACUCGCAGACAGUGAUCAAUACUGCUCCGUGGAUUAUAACUGUCGCAGCAAGCACGAUUGACCGGACUUUCAUUUCGAGGAUCACCCUCGGGAAUAACAGUACUUUUGUGGUAAGUUUUCAACUUCUUAUUUCUUGUUUCAUGUUUGUUUUGUUUUAUGUUUGUUUAGCACUGGACAUAUGUGUUCUAAAUUCAGGGUCAAACCCUAUACCCUGGAAAGCAUCAUAAGAGGAACUACCAAAUUGUUAAUGCCGAAGAUAUCGCCUCCAGUGAUACAGAAGAUAGUGAUGCAAGGUAACAUUUUUUCCUCGCCACAGUCCCAAUUUAAUCGAAAUCGGGGUGAAAUAUCCUUCUAUUCAAGUUAAUGCCCUCGCAGAAGUUGCAAUACAGGAUCUCUUAAUGCUACUCUAGCAAGAGGAAAAAUUGUACUUUGUUUCCAAACACGGGGCCAAAGGGUGGCUUCUGUUGCGGCAGACACAGUCAGAAAAGCACUCGGUGUCGGCGUCAUCUUCGCUCAGUUCAUGACGAAGGAUAUUGCAUCUUCAUAUGAUAUUCCGUGCAUCCAAGUAGACCUUGAAACCGGAAGUACCAUACUAAAUUACAUCGGCGACACAAGGUACAUGUAUAUACGUGUCCUUCGAACUUCGAAGUCCUUUGUUUUCUAAUUUGGUACAAAUUUGGUUUUGGAGAGUAAAGCAGCAAUCUUCUCCUGACACUUUUCCGCAGAAAACCGGUUGUGAAAUUUAGCUCUGCAAAGACAAUUCUUGGAAAACUGAUUGCUCCUGAAGUGGCAUACUUCUCGUCUCGAGGCCCGAGUUCGUUGUCCCCCUCUGUACUGAAGGUAAUUCUCCGUAAGUUUCAUUUACGUAUCGGUCGGAAGUGAUAAGGCCACGAUUUUUGCUAUUAAAGUAAUGUCGGCUUUUCUGUGGUUAACUCAUGGAUACACUCUGCAGCCUGACAUUGCUGCACCUGGUGUGAACAUUUUGGCAGCAUGGCCCCCAGCUUCCAUGUUAUCUCCCACUAGCAGGCCGGUUAAUUUCAGGAUUGAUUCAGGAACGUCGAUGUCGUGCCCGCACAUCUCAGCUGUUGUAGCGCUUCUCAAAUCGAUCCAUCCUGAUUGGAGCCCCGCCGCGAUUAAAUCCGCGUUGGUCACAACAGGUCUGCUGCAGUAAAAUCUACUGCCUCAAUCUUACUUAGUUCAUUGAUUCGAAAAGGGUUAUAUACACAAGUAGCUCCAAACUAGUUCCCUGGCUAUCUGAAAUUGCACAAUAACCAUUUCAAGCCUAUCAUAAAUAAAAUGAGAUCGAUUUCUCUCACUACUUGAUUCUGAAAUUGCUUUCAUUUCUUCGACAGCUAACGCAUAUGACGAAUAUGGCCUCAGUAUAGUAGCUGAAGGUGCUCCUUACAAGCAAGCCGACGCAUUCGAUCACGGAGGUGGCCACGUAGACCCAAACAAGGCUUUAGAUCCUGGUCUAGUUUACGACACGGGUGUUUCCGAUUACAUCCGUUUUCUUUGCUCCAUGGGAUACAAUAACUCCGCUAUAAGCUCAAUGACGCAGCACAACAAAGCGUGCAAAAGCUCCCGUCAAUCGCAGAAGGACUUGAAUCUCCCUUCCAUAUCCAUUCCUGAACUAAGAAAGACCCUGACAGUAUCAAGAACAGUUACAAAUGUAGGUCCGGUUAAUGCGGUGUAUCGAGCUCGCGUAGAAGCUCCGAAAGGAGUACAUGUAAAUGUCGAGCCCAAAGUCUUGUUGUUCAACAUGACUGCGAAGAAGUUGUCAUUCAAGGUAACUUUUCGGACGAAGCUAGACGUGCGAGGGCGGUAUGUGUUCGGAAGUUUGUCGUGGGAGGAUGGAGUUCAUUCGGUGAUGAUUCCGUUGGCGGUUCGGACGGUGAUCGACGACUUCUACACGGUUGCAUGAUGGAAACAUGAUCAUGAUUCCAGUGGAAAUCAACUUCUUGUUCCUCUUUCCUUAUUUUGUUUUCCCUUUAAAAUUUAAACGCCAUUUGUGCACAUCAUAUGUUUUGUUCUCCGAAAUCUUGUUAUUGUCACUAGUUGACUCACAUUGUAAUGACAUUCUCAUAUGAUUUCUCGUUCGCCGAUUUUAUAUUUGUUAAAUCUUAUUCAAAUCUGAAAUAAUAGAGGAUUUUAAACAAUAUCUAACUGAUUCAAAGGUUCUUAAAGAAAGAAAAAGUUUUUCAUAAAUAAUUGUGCAUGAAACUCAUAAUUUAGUGUUCAGAAUCUUAAGCUAUUAUUCAACAAAAAGUAGCUCAUGAUUUGAGAGGAUUUGUUUGAGAUAACUAAUUACUUCAUCCAAGAUAAUGGGAUCAAUAAUUUCAUCAAAGAUAAUGCGAAUCAAUUCUAAGUUUGUUGCUUUGUUUGUUCAUUUAUUUAGUAUCAUAAAUGUGGGUGCUUAACUAAUGGGACCAAUUCUUUACUUAUUACUUUCAAAUUUUUCUUUAUUAUUCAUUAGUAACAGAUGCUAAAUCCACAAAGAUGCUCUUUCUUUAAGUUGUGUUGAUUAAAGUGUUGGAUCCACUACUGUUUUGGCUCUGACACUUGCUGCUGCUAUGGUAGCUGCAGGUUUUUUUUUUUUUUUUUUUUUUUUUUUUUUUUUUUUUUUUAAUAAAGCUAGGUUUUUUUUUUUCCUUUUGUUUUUCAAUAGUCAUGGCAUAUAUUAAGAACUGAUAAAAAUGUACAAAGCUUCCUUGAACUACGGACCAUUUUGAUUCGACUUUUUAAUUUUUAAAAUUUUAAUUUUACUGUCAAAUCUUUCAAUUUAUUUGAUUUGAAUCAGUCAACAGCACUUUGACUUCAAAAUUUAAGCUAAUUACUUACUCUAAUAAAUUUAUAGUUGCAAGAAUUGUAUGGAAUGUGCUAACUAAAUUGUUAAAGAUAGACAAUAUAUUUAAAUUUUAGAAGUCAAAGUGUUGUUUAUUGAUUCAAAUCAAAUAAAUUGAAAGGUUGAAUAUGAAAGGUUGGAUAGUUAAAUCAAAAUGGUCGACGGUUCAGGUAAUUCUAUAUGUCUUUACUUAAAAAGUUUUAUUUGUUUAACUGAUAUCACAAAGACUACUUCUCGAAGCUACUUUAACCUUUGUGGAAGACACGUUAAAAGCUGCGAGAUUACCGACCAACAGGGAACCAUUGCGUGCAUAUCUGAUGCAAUAUAAAGGCAAUCCACGAUGCUUGCUCUGUGGAAAUUGGAGCAAUCCCUUCUUUUGCUAAUGCAUCCCAGAGAAACUUUUGAUAUCUUCUUAGAUUUAGCGUCCAUCAUCAAAACUUUGCACCUUCGGAGUUAUCACUCAGAUUCACUAAUCUCCGAAGCUCGGACAUGGGGCUAUAGACUUUUACAGAGAGAUUCAAAUAUUUCAGUUUUGAAUGGACUUCGAGAUUCUCUAAAAAUGUUGAAAUUGCGGAUCGCUUCAGCAAAAGUUUUCCUUUUGGUCUUCAGUUGAUGAGUUUAUUCAGUCUGUACCACGAUUAAUUGAAUAAAAUCGCCUUCAGGCGUGAUUUCCCUCAAAAAAAGGUUAUUCACACAUAAUCGAAGGCCAAAUGGCCCCUAAUCUAUUUUGCGACUAUCGGUUUGGGGUCCAGUUCUCUAAUCAUUAAGUAGCACAUAAUCUGAUCAUAAUUUUUUUUUUUAUUUUUUAAAAAAAUUGUCUGGUCAUAGAUUUAGAUCCAGAACUUUUAAUUGGUUUUUUAUCUUCAAGAUAAGCUAAUGGUUUAACUAACGGACUUAUUUUACUCUGUUAAGUAAUUGAAGCGUUUACAAAGUGCUUAUUGAGUAGAAUUAUUUGAGUAGAACUAUUCAAGGAAGCAGUAAUAACUUUUUUUACAUUUUCUCUAUGCCAAGAAGCUUCAAAUAGACAACAAGAAGUUUAGCAAUCUAUGGCUUCGUUUGGGGUUGUAGGGCGAUUGCAUUACGUGUCGUGAGAAAGUACGAUAGAAAAAUAUUCUGUUUGUUUCCGUACGUAAUAUUGCGUUUCGCAUAUUGCGAUGAGUCGGUUAUGAUAUAUUUUCCGCGGUCCCACCGAAAAAUACAGAAGCAUAUCCCUAUAUGUUUUUUUUCUAACUUUAUUUUAUCUAAUAGUGUUAGAUAGAGCUCAAUACCAAAUUAAGUUUAAGUCAAUAUUUGGACAAAACUAAAAUAGACCUAUGCCAAAACAAACUACCUAGUGAUAAUUAUCUGCAAUACAAAAAUUUUCUUUUUUCUUUUAAUUGCAACCUAAAGUUUAAUUCUAAUCUAUUACAACUUUGGUAGUCUAAAUUUUUCAGAGGAACAAAUAUUAUAUCCGAAGAAGAAUGAUUUUUUUUUUUUUAGAGAGAGGUAGCAUGAUACCCGCUUAGUUCAUUUUUUCAAAAUUUUUUUUUUUAAAAAAAGAACAAAUAGAAAGGUGUUAACAUAUAUUUCUGAAUAUCUUAAGUAUUAGAUCAGUUUUUUUGGAUAAUAUAGUAUUAAAGAUAAUUCUAAACCCCUUCAUUCUGUAAGGUCAUAGAUUGAAUUGGCACCUUCAAUAUUUAACGAGAUAAAUUUUCGCAGAUCUUACCUACUAAUUCUACAUGUCUUUUCUAUCCAACAGAUACACGAGUGAAAAUAUCAAUAUAUAUAUUUAUAAAUCAGUUUCCUAGCAUAUCAAUCUUUUGGGUAAUAGAAGCAACCCAAGGAUAAUGAAUUAAUGCCUUUUUUUGUAUGUAGUUGUAGACAUCUUUCAUACUCAACCAACUACUGCAUCAUUUCAAUAGACGAGAUGUGCUAAUCAAAAUAUUCUCAAUGAAACAGAGAAACGAGUUUUGGAGCAGAUUCUGCUGUGCAGAGUAUUUCAACCCUUCCUAAAGUUUGGUUUUGAAUAUGGCCUGUUUGAGUGGAAAGAAUUUGAAGAGAAAAAGAAAUGGAGAGAUCUCUGAAUUUGUCAACAAGCCAAGGCCAAGCAAAAGAGUGAGGAAGGACUCUCAAUUUACAACAACAUCAUCAUCAUCAUCAUCAUCAUCAUCAUCAUCGACGAUAACAACAAAGUAUAGGAUCCAAAAGGUCCUAAGAUUAAGCCCAGAACCCGACACUCUACAACUAAGGUGUUACUGAGGAUUUAAAUGUCGAAAUUAGAAACUACAGUUCAAGUACACUAACUUGAUUCUGUACAGAAAUUUCUGGUCAUAACAGAAGGGUAAAAGUUUGCACUGCGCACUACUAGCUUCGCUCUACGGCUGUUCUUGGCGAGUCUAGAAAGAUGUUAAAAUACUUCAGCAAUUUUGGUCGCUGGUACACGAUCCCGUCUUUCAACGUAUCCGUAAGGAAACCAUCCAGCUUUACCUUUGCAUUCUCCUUCGGCCCAGCCAUUAUUCGCCACCUGUAUGGAGCAUUCAGCAUCUCAAAUUAGGGUUUUUGAGAGGAAAUAACAUGCAGGGAAACAGUGAACAAGGUUAUCCCAAGUUACAAAGAAAUCAAUGUCAAAACAUCAAAGACAUAUCUAAUUAAAAAAAACGUAGAAUAAUGUAAAGAGAUGCAAACUAGAAAACAUACUACAAUUCAGUAGAAUCAGAAUAAAAUGACUUAGACUGUUAGAGAAACAUAGCGAACAUCAUCAGAUAUCUCUUGGUAUUAAUCUCAAUAAUCAAGCUAAUAGUUUUCACCAAGGGACUCUAGAACAUCAUUUAGAAUACGAGCCAAAGUAGCCUAGAGCGUCGUUUAGAGAUCAAGAUAUUAUGAUUAUUUGUUCCCUGGGCUGCUCAUUUUCUAAUUGUCUUCUAAGUUCUAAGAUUUUAUUUCAAAUUAUUCUGCAAAUCCCAAAACCCAAAAAAGGGCACAUUUAAGUUUAGAAUGCCGACCCAUUUAAGAUUAGGCACAACAGCAGAAACAAGGAUCAAACAUAAGCAAUUCAAUAUCUAUUUAAGUUCAAAAUAACCAUCUGCCUUCUUUGUUGGUCCUUAUCAGAAAUCUUAACCAAUGGAAAAUUAUGGCGUCCCCUAAUUACAGCUCCUUGCUUUUUGUUGAGGAUUGACUUAUUUCAUAAAGUCCGACUACUAUACUCUUAUGAGUAUGAUCAUUUUCGUACUCAUAAGUUGUUUUCGAUAAUAGAACUUCCGAAUCGACGAUCCAUAUCGUAAACAUGAUUUAGAACAUUUAAAACUUUUAGAUAUCAAAUUUUAUAAUUUUUCGACAUCAUUUACCUUACAAUCAAAAAAUAUCAAAAUGAACUUACAAUAACCGGUAGGAAUACUUGCUAGUUUAACGGUAUAAAAAAUCGAAAUUGAUUGAAUUUUUGAAAAAAAUCUAUUCACUAUCUAGAUAAAGAUCAAUAACUUCGAUCUUAAAUUGAAGGAUCCGAUCAUUCUUUUUUAGGAUGUUGUUCGAUUUUGAUGGUUCAUUUUAUGCCUGCUGGAUUGCUUUAUUAUAAUUUUGAAAAAUCACAAAAUUCAUUUUCUAGUAAUUUUAAAUGCUUUAGAUCAUAUUUAACGGUGUGAAUCGUCGAUUGGGAAGCUCCAUCAUUGAAAACAAUUUAUAAGCACAAAGGGCACAAUACUCAAUAGAUUAUAGCAGCCUUACUCUAUUUCAUGAUACUUCUCAAACAAUAGAGUAUAGUUCUGAAUACCUAAGGAGAGGGAAAUUAACAAUCAAAGCUAAUGAUGGAUGUUAAAUUAUACGAAAAAACUAUUUUUCUCCAAAAGCUUAAGCUGUUAGAGAAUAUUUUAUAUUCAACACUGCCCCUCGCGCUUGGCUCGAAACUUUUGAAUAAGCCCAAGACGAGAAAUUAAAUAAUGCUAGAAGCCUGAUAGGACUCGAACUUAAGAUUCUCUACUCUAAUAUCAUGUUAAAUUAUAUAAAACAACUGUUUUUCUCCAAAAGUUUAAGUUGUUAGAUAACAAUGUUUUUAUAUUUUUACAUUCAAUAGUGGACAAAUGUGCUACGGGAAUAAAGGUUGUCAGAAACAAACUACCUUUCUUACAACAACAAAGUCCCCAACCGACAGGUCCAACUCAACAUCUGACUCAGCCUGAUAUGCAUGCACAACCUUCAUAAUGCAAUUAAGUAAAAGAGUUACGAAAAAGACCAUCGAAACAGAACCAACCAUCAAAGAAUUGGUUCUAGUCCAACAUUUCAUUACACAUCCAAAAAUUAAAAGCUAUAUUGAGUACCUCCGCCAGAAAAUAUCCCACAGAAUCUCCUGAUCCAUUAACUGUUUGGGAAGAAUAUAUGCCAUUGGCGUCUUCAUAUGAAGGAGGAGGUGGCACAGGAUCUUCAAUUACUGGGCUUGGAGUGGCUUCAAUUCGCUGCCUCUCUGAUACCAUCUGUCCAUCAAAGCUUUAAGUGAAAAUGAAUGGAGAAGGACAAAAGUGCUUAUUAUGAAAAACACCUCACUGAGACCAAUAUUAGCUCUUGCUUUUGCAAACCAAAAAACAUAGAUGUGCCACUUGCCUCUUCUUCAAGCUGAUCAAGCAUUUCAAGGAUUUUCUGAUGAUAAGUGCGCUCUAAUUCAACCUUCAAUUAGGAGAAUACCAUUUAUCAGCUUUUUUUUGUGCCAAAGCAUUAUUAGCGACAUGAGAAAUGUUAAAAGAAAAAAAUGACAUUUUGAAAAGUGGGGAAUAAACCAUACCAUUGCAAUAAGACGCUGUAAGGUUAAUCUUUGUUGUUGAGCUUCUACAGCAGUCAUUGCUACUAUGGCUUCUUUACCAAGCACUGUCAUGUUCGACUUCAAGUCUUGCAACUUUGAUUCAGCUGCUUCCAACUUCAAAUUGUUAUCAAUAUUACCAGCGUCUUCUCUCCCUUUGAUUUGGCGUUUUGAAACUUCAAUAGCCUGAAAAGUGUGUGCCAUUUAUAAAGUGGAGAAUCUAUCAGCUGAUGACAAUAAGGGUUUGUUUGGUUCACCUAUUUUAGACUCGGGAAUGGGAACGGGAUUGACUCAUUCCGAUAGAAGUGGUUUGUUUUAUAGGAACCGGAUUCUGAUUCUCAUUCCACUCUAGAAUGGGAAUAGCUUAAUCCAUUUAUGGCACAAUCUAACUUUGAAUUCUCAAUUGACCCACGUAAGAGUAAGCGAAUUAAAACCCUCUCUCACAAACACCUCUCCCUUGUCCUUCAUCACUCUCCUCUCCCUUAAUCAAAACACUCUCCCAAAAUCCUAUUGAGUCCUAAUUGUCCAUUCCGAUUUCCAUUCCAAUAAUGAACCAAGCAUUUUUUGGAUGAUUCGUAAUUCCAUUUUUAAUUCCAAUGCAAUCCAAUUCUCUUUCCCAUUCCUAUUCCAAUCAUGAACCAAAUAUAAAAUAUUAUCAUCAAAACCAUGUAUAGCAAACUGAAUGUGGCAACAGGAGCAAUAAAACAGUACAAUGAAAUAAAGGGACUUUUACAUAAUAUAUCCCUGACAAAUCAUCUUUACACGUACAUCCCCUUAAAUCUAUAUUUUCAACCCCUUAAUAAUGCAGUUUGCUCUUAAGUAGGAGUCAUCUAAUUCACGGGAGAUGUUGGUUUUGCAUCAUAAAAAGUUUUCAAGAGAGGCAUUUUUUUAUAAAAAGAUUACAAAGGUAGGGUUUACUUUCGCCGGGCAGUAGAGUGUACUACUGUUAGAAGUUGUUUGAGUUGUACUAUUUGGAAAAGCAUAAAUAGCUUUUUUAUCAAAAGCAAGAGCUAAUUUGGAAAAGCGUAAAAAGCAUAAAUAUCCCUAGUUUUUAGGAAUUUAUGCUAUAUAAAGAUAUCCUAAAAAUCUAUCUAAAAUCACUAAAAUCUCAUCUCUACUUCACACCACAACAGAAGCUCUACUCUUGUUUGCUAAUAACGCUCUAUUAAAGAUGACUGCAACUAUAAGCAGAAGAUAGCAAAAUGGGUACUAUAUGUGUAAGGAAUUAAGUUUUUGAAGGUUAUAUUUGAAAAUUCAGAUUUUGCAAUGAUGAAUAUGGUAUAUAUUGUUACGACAAACGCACAAACAGAAACAAAAAUGGCAACCAGGAAAUAAACAAACCACAAACAGAAAUAGAAGAAUACACAGAUUUACGUGAAAAACCCUUUGCAGGGAAAAAACUACGGGUGAGGGAGGAGAGAACUUCACUAUCAAAACGAAAAAGGGAAUACAAUGUUGUGAUAAUACAACCGACCACGAUCUCACAUCUCUAGGGCAAAAAUGAAAAGGAAACUCUACGGGCUAGGGCCAAUAGGCCCGAGCCCUGCGCUACCCACCACAGACUUUCAUUUUUCCUUCACAAAUUUAUUUUCCAAUUUGGUCGCACCGUGAAACUGUCGGCGAGUCGAAAACCCGAACUUGAGUCGAUUAUCAAUUUCGAGUCACAUCUAACAUAUAUGAUUUCAGAGGGUAUAUCUAACGUAGAAUAUAAUUGUCCACAUAGAUAUUAGCAUAUAGUGUUACCUGAGCUUCAGCUUCUUGACGCAUUUUGUCAUACCGUUGAGCAAGGUGGCGAGCAUCCUCCAAUGGGGUACCUACUACCAUUGCUCUUAAUGGCUCUGCGACCUGACAAGUCAAGAAUUUUGAUACUAUCUGAUCAGCUCAUUAUCAUACAAGCAAAUCAAGAUUUGUGAAAUUCAAAUGAGCCAACUAGUUUACCAUCACCUGUUUAUAGUUUAGAAAAUGAAAAAGAAAAAAAAAGAAAAGGAAAAAAGUGGUAUUAAGAGUAUGACGAAAUAGUGACUGUUUACAAAAACAUCGAUAGACCCAAAUCGGCAUGACCAUAGAAUAUUCUAUUAGGAAACUUCUAUGUUGCACAGAUAUGGGUACAAGGAUACGGAUAUGAUGAUACAGCAAGUCCCAAAAAUUCUAGAAUUCGAUAUGCAGGGGAUACUUGAAUAAAAUAUUAUUUUAAAUUUAUUUAAACAUAUGUUGACUAUAUAUAAUAAUAUAUUGAGAACAAUCAGGAUACCUGAGGUAUAUUUAAGAGAUAUAUGCAUCAGCUUGUACAAAUAUUCUAACUUUGUUCAUCGAAAAAGAUAAUUAAUCAUAAGGAAUGAUAAUUCAAAGACUAUUAACCAACUAUCAUCUAGCUUGACCAAAUGAUAACAAUAGAUAUUUAGUUGCACAAACAAAAUUAGCCAUUCAUCAUAUAUGUAUGUUUUCAAAUAUCAUUAGGUUCUAUUAUAUAAAACAUUGACAAAAAAAAAAUGCUAAAACUUUCAUAAAAAUAGGAAAAAAAAUCAUUCUCUAUGGCCCUUCUUGGUUGACACUAGAUAGGUCACACUAGAUGGGUCAAUUAGAUUAAAAAAGUAAAAGUUAAACCUUAAAGGCCUAAACUAUAACUUAAUAUUGUGUGGGGACGGUGAGAGAGAGUGCCUUCCACCGUCCAAGCAAAAAGAUAGAAAAAUGAAGAAUUGAAGAGAGAUUGACAGUUUUUCCUACUGUUUUCCUUAUUUUCAGUGGAUUAGGAUGUGGAUUUGAAACCGACCGUCCUUAGAGCAAGUGGCAAAGGGCUUGGUGGUUGGUACCCGAGGUCCCAAGUUCGAAUUCUAGUUGAUUCACAUUUCUAGCUAAGUUUAUUUCUAAAUGAAAUAAACGAAGCGGGUAGCGUGCUACCUAUUUCUCAAAAAAAAAAAAAAAAUGGAUGUGGAUUUGAACAAAAAAUUUUUGGUUCCGAUCAUUUUAGACCAGAAAAAAAUCUAGCCGCAUCCCCGAUACCCCGGCCAUAUCCUCCUGUAUCACCCCCAUUUCUGAGCUGUAUCCUGUGUUUUUUUUUUUUUCACUUCUUAAAAAAAUUCCGGAUACUCCAAUCCCCUAUUGGACAUAUCGAGCGCGUAUCGAGCGCAUAUCCAUAUGCGAUAUGUAUCCGAUACACAAACAGCACGUAAAUUGAAGUAUCUGCGCUUCAUAGGGAACCUUAUAUCAGAAGAUAUUAAGACCAAUGCACUUAAGUAAACUUGACAAACUAAUAAACUGAACAAGGAUAAGACAGAGGGCGCAGUACGCCUGUGCAACAUAGAUUACAUAUUUACAACAAGGAAAAUGCAUAAAUCUAGGACUAGCUAGGUAGCGAACUGCUUAGCACACUCGAAGUUCUGAUAAACAAAAAUUAUAUAAUUCUAGGUUGCAACUUGCAAGACAUAAUAUGCUAAAUUUAUAUCCGCAUAGACGUGCUGCAUAGAAUUUUUAAUGUUCACAAACUCCAGACAGCACAGUAGCUCAGCCAAGAUAUAUUAGUAAAUCAGUUCAAUCAUCCUUCCAAUCUAGAACACUAGUAUAAUCUUUGAGGUUCUCGUCGAAGGCAACAUUCACAAAACAUAGCUUUCCAACCAUGAAAAGGAGUGUGUGUAUAUAUAUAUAUAUAGCUCCCAGCAGCCACCGAAGAAAAUGUACAUGGCCUCCUUUCCAUGGGCGCCCAAAUUACUUACACUCAACAAGUCAUUAUUCAUGACAAGGGCUAUUAACAAGAACCCAAACACAUAAAAGUAGGAGUUGACUCUAGAGCCAAAGAGUUAUUAAGGAGUAUAUCAAAAGUGAAACAAGAGGGCAACUAAUUUGCAUGCUUUAGAUUCCCAAAAGUAACAUCAGCAAUAUAACCAAAGCUCAUUUAAAAGAAGAAAUGAACAAUCAACUGCACAGAAAGAAAAAAAACACACCUGGGUGCUGAGAGCUUUCAAUAAGUCCCCACGUUCCUUUUCCAUCUGGGCACGAGCACGCCCAAAGGUUAGUGCAGCUUUUGAUAACGUACUUACAUUUGUACAGCUGUCCUCGGCACCGUACUUCUUGCUAUCUUCUGAUAGUUUUGUGCCUGAGGAAGGUAUCUAUAAUCUUUAUGUACAUGACAAAAUAAAGAGUGAGAAAAAAAGAACUAGGGCUAUACAGAUACCAAGUUCAACUUGUUUGGAUCCUGUGACUAUAAAACCUUCCACACCGCGAACAAUAUCUCUUUGAAAAUGCUGAAAGAAACACUAGAGUUAGACACACAGAAACUGGUCGAAUAGAUUUGUCAUAAGAUGGCUAACCUUUCCUGAGCGGGUUGAUAUGUAAAGCUUCUCUAGUUUCUGAUGCUGCUGAAGUUCCGCCUCAUCGCUAAACACAUAAUCAAAACUUGCAUAUCCACCAUUUCCAAAUUGCUUGAGAACAGCCUAUCAUGAUUUUCACAAAAUGAUCACAAUGCCCAAGAAAAUAUGAAAAGAUAAACCAUAUUCAUUCACUUGAAGAUCAUAUGGCUUAUUCAUUUAUUCAUAGAAAUAAUACAAGAUGAAGCCUAAAACCUAAAAAGCAAUCACUCUACUUAUCUACCAUAAUUACUUUGAAGCAUCUGGAUAGCUACUCACUUCAUAACUACUUUAUGCUACUUCUCUUGAAUCGCGCUUCCAUAACUCCAUCAUAUGCUAUCAUAACUCCAAUUUUGCUUCAUCAUAUUUAUGCAUCUAAAAAUGGUACAAACGUCUCUCUAUGAUGUAUCAAAAAACAUGAGAAACUUUCAAAAGCACUCCCAACCGUAUAGUGCAUCUGCAGUUUACUAUCCUAUGGCUUAAACUCUAAGAUUUUGUACUCGUGGUUUCCGUUUUAUCUUUCAACAAGUAGUGGUAAUUUAAAAGGAGCAAAGUGCAUAUUUUAUAAAGCAUGUGGCGGUACUAGCUAAAAUGUAACACUUUACCACCCUGCGUGUUGCACUUUACCGUCACCAUCAUGUGAUUUAUAAAAUUUAUCACUUUGCUACUUUUUUAUGACAGUUCCUUGGGGAAAACUAAAGAAACUUACUUUUUAUUUUGGGUCACUUUAAUUUGGUCUCUUGUGGUUUAGCGCACUUUCACUUUGCCACUAUGUAGUUUUCGCAGGGUUCUAAUGACUACCGUUGUAACAAAGUGAUACUUUCUUACAAACCACAUAACGGUACAUAAUGGUACAAUACAACAGUUCACUAUCCUAUGAUAUACAGUUUACUAUCCCGUGGUUUGCAAAAAAUAUCACUUUGCUACUCUGUUUAAUGAGAGAACCGUACGGUGAAACUAAAAUAAAACCAUGGAAUAGUUAACUGCAACCAUUCAAGCCACGGGGUGGUCCUCUGGCAAAGUGAAAAUAAGCUAAACCUCAAAAGUAGAGAUGUCAACGGGUCGGAUUCGAGACGAAUUUUCAAAAAACACAAAGCUGAACCCGACUACCAAACCCGAAACCCGAACCCGAAUCCCAAUCCGACGGAUUUUAAAAAUCCAUACCCAAACCCGAAUCCGACUAAAAAUUCGAAACCCGAACUCAAGCCCGAACCCGAAAAUCCAAACCCGAAACAAUUAUUUCUCUUUACAAUAUUUCAAAAUAUAUUACAUUAAAUCUAAAUUUUUAAAAUACAAAUUUAAAUAUAACAUCAAACAUUUCUAUAUAUAUAUUAUAUACAAUGUAAAAUAAUUUCAGGUUCGAGUUCAGGUCGGAUAGAAUAAAAAUCCAUACCCGAAUCCAAAUCCGUCGGGUUUUCGUUUUUAAUAUACAUAUGCGAAACUAUAUCUGGUUAGCAUCG
Molecule: long non-coding RNA, 54312 nt
Filed under: Ananas comosus (pineapple)
Lineage: Eukaryota; Viridiplantae; Streptophyta; Magnoliopsida; Poales; Bromeliaceae
Description: long non-coding RNA (ACOM_LNC033737)
Source: RNAcentral